This 65811-nucleotide long non-coding RNA is filed under the name Capsicum annuum. RNAcentral describes it as "long non-coding RNA (CANN_LNC019442)". The record is from RNAcentral. Lineage: Eukaryota; Viridiplantae; Streptophyta; Magnoliopsida; Solanales; Solanaceae.
ACACACUACCUCACUGUAUAAGACACCAUCGUCUUCUCCGCAAUUCACAAAAAAUCACUCUCACAUACGCAUACUACUCACCUUCACUGGAAAAGGCUCUCAUACGGAUGCACAAUUCUCUCUACACAGUACACACGCAGCUCACCGCACACUCACCGAAGACGAAAAAUUUCUCACAAAAAAAAUGCACACACAUCGUGGAAGCCAGUGGAGAAGAAAAAGAGUGGAAUCGGGUGAAAACAGUAGAAAAGAUGGAGAAACAUUGAUGAAUUGAGGGGGGAGAAACAGUGAACGAUCGAGAAAGGAAGGUCGAUUUUCUGAUGAAAUCUCGUCGGAAACGUCAUCUCUACCGACAAUCUGAAUCCAAAAGCCACCAGCUCCUUCAUUUGUCCAAAAAUUCGAUUAAACCCACAUCACAUCGACUCAAGGAACCGACCAUUCCUUCUCCGUCCCCGUCACCGUCGAGUUCUUCGGUGAAGCUCACUAGAGCCCCGGUAAGUAGCGAAAUCCGUGGUCAAAACAGUGCACAAAUUCUAGUUGAGUCAUCGGUCUUUUGGGUUCUAUUUCGAAUCACCAAGUUGGGUCCAAUUUGAAGUCGAAAUUCGAUUCGAUUUUGGUCGUUGUUAAGGUCGGCUUGAGGUUCUAGUCACGGUUUUAAUCGGAAUAAUACAUCGAUUUUGAAAGCGGCAUUGAGGUCCAAUUCUAUCUUCUCUCCCUUUAAUUUUUACGUGAAUAUGAAUGAUUUGUUGCUUGACAUACUUGAAUCUUUGUUUUGCGUUGGUUGAUGUUGGACUUGAAUGUGAAAAUUUGGAUUAGUAGUUGAAGAAUUGAUUUAUUAUUUUGAGAAUGAAUUCGGGGAGGGAUUGGUUUUGAUGAAAGAUGAAUGUUGGUUAUUUUGAUUCAUUAAACGCGAUAGUAUCAUGAUAGGAUGAAAUUGGUAGGCAAAUGGUAGGCUGGCUAGGCAAAUUUAGGAAUUGUUGGUCGGGAAAUGUUUUGAGGGAUUUGUAUUGAUUUAUCCGGGAAAUGCCCCGAAGUGUUAUGUGCGCAGAGGAGGCUCGUUAUUAAGGCCCGAGGCAUCGGGUAAGACAUUGGAGCGUAGUUUUAGAAUUAGCUUAUAAUAGGAUUUAUAUUUUCGCAUUUUUUUUCUAUUUUUAGGACUAUAUAAUUGGACUGAACACUAAAGUUCGGAUUAUUUUGUUUUGUUUGUUUGAUUGAUUGUUUUAUAUGCUUUUGUGUGGUUUAUAUAUUCGUAAUGUUAAAUUAGUCGAUAUGCUCUACCAAGCGACCGUGGUCAAAUCACGGAACCGAGGGGUGCCUAACACCUUCCCCUCGAUCAACAUAAUUCCUUAGUUGGAAUCUCUGUUUGCAAACUAAUUUAAAGAGUCAAAUCAUUUUUGAAAGAGGAUUUUCAAAUCUGACUUGGCACAUCAGAUUUAUGUCAAGUGGCAACUCUGAGUUAAUUGUAAAAUGAAUUCUUUUUGAAAUAAUUUUUAUUUUGUCACUUUAAUAAUAAAAAUCCUUUCAAACUUUAAAAUCAAUUCUUUUUUGGUUAAAAAAAGGGGUGUGACAAGUUGAACUUCUUGACUUUCAUUAAAAUACUUUGCAAUAGAUAAAAUGGUCUUUCACUUUUUCUCUUCAAUUAUUAUUUAAUUAAAUUACGCAAUCCUAAAAUAUAUAAUAAUAACAAAUAUAUGAUAAAAAAAUAUUAAGAGAACUAAAAUAUUUGAAUAUAUAUGAAAAGUAUAAUUAGUUAAGAAAAAUUAAUGCCACUUUAUAAAAAUUCUAAAUAAAUAAUAUGUCAAUUAGAGCAACAAAAAAAGGUUCAUAAAAGUAUUCUUGAUCUUGAAUAUGAAUGAAAUAAUAUUGAAGAAGCUAUAUUUAAUUUAUAUAAUUAAAAUAAGGAACAUAUUUAUAUAUAGGAUAAUAAUACUUAUGUUUUUUAAUCUUUUUGAAAACUUAUUAUUUCUAUUUAAUUUGGGAAAUAAAGUUUAUCCCAAGUAAAUUGUCUCCCUAAUCAAAUAGGAAAGAGGUUUAUGUAUGAUACUAUAUAUAUAAAGGGUGAUGAAAAGAAAAAUUCAAAAAAUGAAUGAUGCAAGUCAUUAUUGAUUGAUUCUCCAAUAUUCUUAUGCUGGUGAGAAAAAUUCAUGGGGAAAAUGUGAUUUAGACUUUGCGUCUAUUAUAAACGGAAUUAAAGGUUUGUAGAGAAUUUUAUUUCUAAUGCAUAUUGAUAUUAUUUAUAUUGUUAAGGUUAAAUUAUUAGACGUCCUUCAACAAAUAUUAUUAUAUGCUUUUGUUUUAUAUGCUUAAUAUUAUUUUUUGUGUUGGUUGGUACUAUGAUUUGAUGUAUGUCUAAUGCCUUAUUUUGCUUGAUAAGGUUUGAUGUGUUAUUAAUGCCCUUGAUAAAGGUGGUAGAUGAAUGGCUUUGAGAUUUUUUUAAAAGUAAAAUUAGGUAUGAUCACAUUGGUUUGAUAUCUCAAUUGUCAUAUUGUUUUGUUGUAAUUUCUAUUCUAUUGUCAUCUAUUAUUUUUGUCAUUAUCCGUUGUUUAUUGUACUUUGUAAUUACUUCUUUUUUGAACAACUUUGGGUGAUUUUUCCUUGAGUCCAGGUCUUUCAUCAAGUUGAAGUGAAAAAAUAUAACUAAUUAAUGAAUGUUUUCAUAUUGUGAGCAGUUGAGAGUAUUCGAGAUUUUAAAGAUACCGAACAUAUUGUUUUAUUGUAGUUUCUAUUAUGUUAUCAUCUACUGUUUUUAUUAUUAUCUGAAUGACUUUGGGUUGUUUUUUCAUGUGUCGAGAUCCUUCAUCAAGUUUAAGUGUGAAUACAAGACUAAUUGAUAAAUGUUUUCAUAUUUUGAGCAGUUGAAGGUAUAUGAGAUCUUGAAGAUGUCAAAAAAAUUCAUCAUUCGCUUUCUUUUUGGUAUGCAAUCUAUUAUAUAUCUUUGAAUUUUGAGUUUUGGUAAUUGAGUUUGUUUUAUUAUUUUUUCUUUUCAGUUUAGUUUGUAAUUGAUAGACAUAUUAUGAAAUUUGUUUUGUGAAGUUGCAGUUUUGGAGGUUCUUGAAUAGACAUAGCUUGCUUAUAUUUUAUUAUUUAUUAGAUGCAUAUUUUCAUAAAAUUUUAAUGGUUCUAACCAAUUUAUGAAUACUAUAUAAACUAGAGAAAGCGCGGUAUUAAAAAAUUAAUUAUUUGAUGUAAAAAAUUAAUUAUUUUCUCAGUUCAAUUUUAUAUUCACUUUAAAUUUAUUAUCUAACCAUAAAAUUAUAACUUAUUAUAAUGAUAUUAUGAAGAAUGUUUAAAACAAACAUUGAAUUUUACAUUCAUACAAAAACUUUUAAUGAAAAAUAAGAAAAAAUAUAUAUGAGUGUACGUGUUUUACACGUGUCUCUCACAUCAAUCAAUAAAGUAUACAUAAGAAUUAAGAACAAUAUAAUUAGAAAGUAGCAAUAUAAUAACGUUAAAAAAUGAUAUAUCUAUUUAAAUUAUAUAAAUAAAUAUUUUAUCUCAAAUAUAGUAUUAUGUGAUGUGUCUCACUUCAAUGUUUAUUAUAAACGAAAAGAACAAAGUUAAUUUGAAUUUCAUGCUAAUAAAAUUGUUCUCAAACCUCAUUACUCCUUUCACUAAAUAUUAAAUCUUAAAAGUUUUCUAAAAUUUUGACCAACCAAUGAAGUUUCUAGAAUUUUCCUUUUCAAAACAACCCUUUUUAGAUAUAUAUUAUAUGUAUUAUAUUAGAAUACUACUGAAUUUUACCAAAAUAAGGAAAGAAUUUUGCCAAAAAUAGAUUUGUAUUGCAUAUAUAUUAUUUGUACUAUUUGUAUUGUAGUAUUACCAUACCACUUAAUUUUACCAAAAAUGAGGAGUUUUACAAAAUUGAAAAACGACAACCAACAUGGAAACACUAAUUACUUCUCCUCCUAUAUACUUUGGGAGUUUAGUUAAUAUUAUAAAUGUAAUAAUAUAAUAAUUUAGAGAAAUAAGUGAAAAGACAAUUUUAUUUGGUGUAGACAUUUUUAAUGAAACGCAAAAAGUUCAAAUCAUUUUUUCAAGGGUCUUCACAUUUUUAAUAUAUAUAUAUAACCAAUUUCAAUAGUGUAAGUCUUUUUAAGUCUUCAUCACUAUAUACAAAUUGAUUUCAUAUUACAAGUAUACAACUAUCUCAAUGUGAAUAUUGCAAUUUGCAUUAAAAAAAAAAUCGGGAAGAAAAAAGCCUAGAUGAUACAAAUUUAUAUAUAGAGCUUAAAAUAAAAAAACAAUGAAAAAAUCUAUUAGACAAGAAGAUCAAAAAGCAUGAAAAAAAUAAAUUAAGUAGAUCCCUGUGCAAAUAUCCAUAAUCUCUCCGCUCCUAAUUAUCAACAAAACUCAAAUCCUUCUCCAACAUUACAUAACUUCCUUCUUCAUAUAUUUUCGAAGUGUACAAUAUUAUAACUCGCAAGAUUAACUACAUAACUUCCUUCUUCAUAUAACUCUCAAUUUUCUUGAGUAAUGAAGAUUACUAAGAGGAUGAGUUAUAAAGAUGAUAAUAUGUGAGUUAAAGGCACAAAAUUAAUGGAUAUUAUUAUAAUAUAAGUUAUGGGAAUAUGAGUUGGUGUGAGUUAAAAUGAUUUAUUAAAUAAUUAUUUUAAAAAAUAAAAAUAAUUUAAAAUAGAUUAUGGUGUUAUUAUUAUAUGGUGAAAAUGAAAAAUCAAUGUUAAAAAAAUAAAAAAUAAAUAAAUGCAAUUGGAGGCCGUAGAAGUAUGUCACUCAGUAUAUUUCUAAUUCUCCUUGAGAGAUAGAUGUUUAUAAUUACAAACUUUCAAGUAUUCAUAUUUUUAUAAUGAUCCGCUAAUUAACAAUAAUAGUAAGUAAUUAUUCUUUAAAUAUGAUUCUUUCACAUGGUACGUACAACCUCUUUAAUUAAUAUGAUGAAAUUUUUCUUUUAUAAAAUAUAAACUUAUAAAUCUAAUUUUAUAUUUAAAAGAAUUAAAAUCAUGAUUUAAAAUUCCAAUCAUGAUUUUUUGAAAUUUGAAAUUUUAUCUCAUGAGAUGAAAUCAUAUAUCCUACUCUUGAUUUAAUCUCAUAAAUGUCUACUUAGAUUGUGAAUGACAAGACAUCCGGCUAAAAAUCUACUCUUGUAUGCAGAUGGAAUCAAAUCCACAAAAUAUAUAGUCCUGAAUGUUAAGCUCAAAAGUAUUGCUUGGAAUGUUAAGACAAUACGUGUACACUGUAUAUAUAGUCCUGAAUCAAUUCAAUUCAGUUCUACUCUCACAUCUUUGGAGAAAAAAAUCAUGUCACAAAUGCUUCUACAUUGCAAAAAGAGUUAAGUUGUGUUGCAAUGGCCAUGAAUAAUGCAGAAAUGACACCAAAGAAUUAAUAGUAGUAAUAAUGAAGGCAACACCAUAAAUUUCUUCUGUCUCACGUUCACCGCACCAGGUUUCAACAUCACAAACAAUCAGUUUUUUUCUGAAGUAAAAGUUGUUACUGAGGAAGAACAAAAAGUGCAAUCAUGUGAGUGUUGUAUGAUUGACAAUGACCGCACUUACUGUCCGAUUAUGUGGAAGAAUAUUUCAAUUGUGUCAUUAUAGUCGUUGCAAAGAAUUCAAACCUGCAAGUAACAAUUUAGGUGAGAUAAGCAAAACCAAAGGCAGUUCACAAUGUAAGAAGACCAAAGGUAUGCACUAUAUGCACUAAGGCACAGACUAUAUUAAGGCACUAUGAAACACUAAAAACUCAACCCCCAUUGGUUGCCCUCAGUAACUAACAGUCAAAAUAACAACAUGACAAAUACGGGGUCAAGGAAAAGAAAGUACCUUCUUAUAUCUAAGAUCAUCAGGCAUGGUUGUCUCUUCAAUAUGAAAAAAAAAAAAAUCACUUUUAGUGAAGGACUUCAAUAGAGCUAGAUAACCAGAAAUUUUGAAAAUAAUAUAAGAUAAGACUUAACCCCCACUCCAAUAACUAAAAGAACCGUCUGAAAUUGCAAAAGAAUUAAGCAUACAUCAUGACCAACUUAAUACGUACAGGAACAAACAUCAUCAAAAUCUUAGCACUGCCAACAAAUUUGCAAACUCUGAUGUGGAAUUAACAUAUAUUUUAUCGACCUCAGCACAUAAAAAAAAUGAAACAUGGUGUUGAUGUCAGCCUCAUCAACCACAACCAUUUUGCAAAUUACAAGAUCAUAAUGCACUUUUGGGAAUUAUGCUGAUCCCCAGACAUGCUGGACCAUACCAUAUGGUUCAAAAUGCAUCCUCUAUUGCAAUAUCAACGUUGCAGACAAAACACAAACACUUAUGUCCAGUUACUCAUAUCAAGAGAAAAAUAAUUUCUAUCUCUUGUUUUACCUUUAACAUUAAUUACUUAUUACAAAUCAUUUUUCAAGUCCAUGAAAACUACACACCAAUUAAUAUCAAUAUGGGUAUAAUGAUAGAAUAUGCACUUCAUUUGUUAUUUUUUAAGGGAUGUGAGAAGUUUAUUUCGGGCAAGUAAAAGGGAAGAGAGAGAGUAUUAUAUACAUGGACAAAAUUAUAGAUUAAUCACCAUAGAAUAAAUAAUUGGAACUCGUUAAGAAUAAUGAUAGAAUAUGCACUUCAUUUGCUAUUUCUUAAGGGAUGUGAGUAGUUUAUUCCGGGCAAGUAAAAGUGAAGAGAGAGAGUAUUAUAUACAUGGACAAAAUUAUAGAUUAAUCACCAUAGAAUAAAUAAUUUGAACUCGUUAAGAAUAAUGAUAGAAUAUGCACUUCAUUUGCUAUUUCUUAAGGGAUGUGAAAAGUUCAUUCCGGGCAAGUAAAAGUGAAGAGAGAGAGUAUUAUAUACAUAGACAAAAUCAUAAAUUAAUCACCAUAGAAUAAAUAAUUUGAACUCAUUAAGAAUAAUGAUAGAAUAUGCACGUCAUUUAUUAUUUCUUAAGGGAUGUGAAAAGUUCAUUCCGGGCAAGCAAAAGUGAAAAAAGGGAGUAUUAUAUACAUGGAUAAAAUCAUAGAUUAAUCACCAUAGAAUAAAUAAUUUGAACUCAUUAAGAAUAAUGAUAGAAUAUGCACUUCAUUUGUUAUUUCUUAAGGGAUGUGAAAAGUACAUUCCGGGCAAGUAAAAGUGAAGAGAAAGAGUAUUAUAUACAUGGACAAAAUCAUAGAUUAAUUACCAUAGAAUAAAUAAUUUGAACUCGUUAAGAAUACACUUCUGUAAGUUGGGAGGAUGAAAAAAAACUGAUCCAAUUGAAGCAGUUAAGCACCUUGACACAAAAUAAUAAGACAGGACACGAAAAGUUCACAGAAUUCAACAUAACAAAAGUCACAGGCUAAUUAUAAAAAACCAUCCACAAUGCUUUAAGAGAAAUACAAAAAAUGAAUUCACAUCCAAUACAAGCAUGAAACAUGUAAGCGAAUAAUAACAGCGACAAAAAAUUGGAGGUACUUAAAACUAUUUUGAGUUUAUCGGGGUACCUUCACUAAAGCUUGUCGAAAUCAGAAAAAGCUAAGAAGUGCAUAAGUAACAUAAAAGAAAAACACAAAAGACAUCAAUAUUGUUGUUUUCUUGGUCGUUCGAAGAUCAAACAACAAUUAUCAAAGUGGCACCACAACACGUGGGGAGGAACCCUCAAAACAUCUCAUACACCAUUAGACUUGCUUCCAAAAAUUAAAAAUGAAACAAUAUUCAUCAACAGUAUAAAAUACAACACAAGACACCAGCCUCCUUUAAUACGAGUACAAGCCUCUUCAACCCCCUUUUUCUGCUUCACUAAAGGUCCUUUAAAUCCUUGAAAAAAAUGCAAAUAAGUGUGCGCAAAAAUAGAAAAUUAUUCAAUCUGAUAACCACAAAUAAGUAAAGUGAUUCACCAAAAUAAUUUUAUAAAGUCAAAAACUCAACCCGAUAAAGUAUUUUGUCAAAAUAAUUUUAUAAAUCUGAUGAAUUAGUUGAAAUAAAAAAGCACAAAUGUAUAAUAUUAGCUUUGCUUAUAGUUAUUGGCGAGAAGAAAAUGGAGAUUAGAUGGUAGAGAACAAUGGGUAAAGCCUGAAAAGAGGAGUGCACAAAAAUUAUCCAAUAGAAAUUUGCAAAAAUCUGAUGAAACAAAUAACAACAAAAUUGCAAUCGGAAAACCUAUUGGUUCUUCUCCUCCUUUUUCCUUUUUCCCUUUUUUAACUGUUGGAACAAAGGCGUUCGUUCUUCUUAUUCUCUUUUCAACAGUCACAAGUUUAAUAAGCGUCUGUUGGGGUCUGUGAAGGUAACUGAUUAUUUUUUCUUUUGAUAUUUUUUUAAAAGUAAAAUUUAAGUAAAAAAAAUCAAAAAAGGACAAAAUAGAUAAAUACCAAUGGUGGUCAUUGGAGGAUGCCACAUCAGCACAUCCUUAAUCCUCUUCUAUAUAUAUAUAUAUUGAGUAUACAUAAUUAACAGUUUAUAUUAAUCAUAUACUCGAACAAAUGCAAGCGCAAACGCGUCCAUCUACACUAGUAUAAUAUAAUUUAAUGGAUGAUGGAAUAUCAUUGUUCUUACUGUUGACGAUAGUAUACAGCUUAAAUUGCUAGACUAUAAACUUACUCAAAUUUUGCAAUUAGAUUUCAGAUUAUAAAUGAUACUUUUAGUUGACUGACAUUGAUUUACCAAACUUCAAAGCACCUCGGCUAUACAUCUUCGCGCAUAGAGAAAACUUCAAUAUAAUGCACCAAGCUGUCUUUUUAAUUAUAUUGAACAUAUUUUUAUUAUUAUUGUAUUUGCAUUAAAUACCUAUUUCUCAUUAGUAUAGAUAUCAAGUAAUGUUGUUCAUUCAAAUUUUUAGAUAAAAGAAAAAAAAAAUUACUGUAUAUUUUAUAUUGCUACUGAAAUUUACAUCAUGAUUCUCAUAAUUUUCACUAAUUUUUAUUAAUAACUAAUAACUAGAUCAUGCUAUUCAAUAGCAAUCAAUUAAAUUUUACCAUAUUAAGUUUAGAAGUUGCACUACUGUGAUAAAAGCUUUUAGUGACAAUAAGUAUGCAUUUAACAAAGAAUGCUAAAGAUUUUAUCUGUCAUUUGAAUCCAAUGUUAUUAUAGGCUUUAAGGACGUUUACAAAGAAUGCUAAAAUAUAAUUAUCUCUACAAAUAUAAUAUAGUGGUAACUAAGUUAUUGUCAUUAAAUAUCUUUUUUGUGUAGUAUUUGUAUACAAAUUCAUGUGACCAGUUUAAUAAUUUAUGUUUAUAUUUUGUAUUUUAAAUUUUAAAUUCGUCUUAGAAACAAGAAUCAAUAUAUAUUUAAUAAUAAAAGGAAAACAUAGAGAAGGUGAUGUGACACUUCUCUAUGGCCUUCAUUGCUAUUUAUUUUUCUUCAUUUUUUGGCAGUUUUUCUUCAUAAUUUACCUACUAAUUGUAUUUAAAAAAUCUACACAUUAAAUACUAAUCCAAAACCACUACCUACUAUAUGCAAUAAAGUCUAAUUAUAUCAUUACUUCACCCACACAACAUCAAUAUUCAUUUGUAUAGUAUACCUAAACAGUUUUUCCUUAUAAUUAAUCACUCAUAAUUAAGUGGACAAUUCAUUUGUCUUGCCUAUUCAUAUUUCAAUUUCGCGCUAUAUAUAUCUUCAUAUAAUUUUGGAAUCUCAUGGUACGUCAUCUCUUUUUUUCUCUUUUGUUUUCAUCAUUUCUUUCUUUCUUUUUUAUUUUAUUUUAUAUCAUUAAUUUUAAAGUAUUAUCAUCGUCUUAUAAAAGUGCUGAUGCACAUGAAGUUGUUUGACAUGAAAAGGUAAGUCAAGAAUCUAUUUUAUUAAUAUCAUUGUUAUUUAAGUUUUUACAAAAUUUUAUUUUAAUUUUCAUAAUAUUUUGAUUCUUUGAAGAUUGUUUAUUUACAGGAAUAUAUAGCUAUAUUUAUAUGUUCACAUAAUUGCGGGCAAUAAAGAAUACGAGAAGUCAAAUGUCACGUCUUGUAGGUUAGAACUUCUAUCAAAAAAAUUCAUAAUUAUAUAUAUUCAUUGUUCAAAAAGAGACAUAAGAAAUGGAAUAAUUUUAAUAAAUAAAUUCAUUAAAUAGGGAGACUUCAUUACACCAAACUGUUUUGAUAUAUUUUCAUGUCAGUAGAACACUGUAUUUUUUUUAAAGUCUUAUAUAAUUUGUUUCAUAGUUUAUGAAUGUGGUGUAUAAAAUACAUAGACCAACUUUAUAACUAUGAAAGAGGAUAAAAAAGAAGUAGAUAACUGAUAAUUGUGUUGUUAUUUUUUCUUCUAAAUAUGUUGCACAAUUUUUAAAGUUUUUUUCUUUAUAGUAUCUAAUAACUUUUCUAAACUUUUCGAAUGAGCAAGGAGAUCCUUGAGCAAGGCGAUCCUUCUUACAAGAGCAACAAUCAAUAAUGGAAGGUAGAAGGAUAACAAUGUUUGUUAUUUAUAGCCUCUUUUUUACUAAGAUAGAACUUUCAAAAUUGAAGCAAUGCUAAUUUUUAUUAUAUCAAAUUAUUUAAACUAUGAAAUAACUAGGACUAACAGUAAAGCAUAACUGUAGAAUAAUAGUUAAUAUAACUAAUUACGAAGUACAAAGCAAUUACUAAGAUUAUUUCUUUUAAUUUGUAUUCAUGAAAAUUAUAGAGAAACAAAAAAUUUAUUAUCCAACAAAAUACGUAAACACAAGUAAGAAUUUAUGAUUAAUUAACUAUAUACAAUUAAUUUCACAGAAGUAUGAUAAAAAUAAUUCAUUUUUUUAAUAAUAAAUUUGUAAGAAUAUUUAUUAAUAUAAAUUUAUUAAUAUUUUUUCUAACCAUGCGAAGCGCAACCAUUAUUAUCACUGGUUAAAGAUAAAGAUAUCUCGACAUAGUUUGUGAUAUGACAUUUGCCAUAUUAAAUAGUCGUUUGGCCAUAGAAAUUUUUUAUUUUUUCCGAAAAAUUAUUUAACUUUAGUGAAAAAAGUGAAAACACGUUGCGUUUGGUCAUGAAUUUUUCAACUCCAAUUUCUAAAAAUUAUUUGGAAAAGUGAAAAAAUAAGUUUUACUUGUUUUCACUUUUUCACUCAUACUUCUCUCACAAAAUUUUAAAAACAACUUUAAUUUAUAUUCAUGGUCAAACACAACCCCAACUCUAACUUCAUCUUCAACUCCAACUCCAACUCCAAAAAAAAAAAAAAAUCAUGACCAAAUGGGGCCUAAAGCUCCUUCAAUAUAUCCACCAAAUUUUCAAACAUAAUUUUCAUGGUGGACUUUCAUGACUCUGUUUUUCCUUCCUUGGGCUUGGGCUUGGCCUACUUUACAAAUUUAUGUUAAUGGGCCAGAUUCCCGAGAAGGGAAAAUUUCAUAAUAUCAAAAUUAGUGUCGAUUUUUUUGGGGCAAUUUUCAUAAAUUCCACCAGAUUUCUUCUUAAUUACCUUUUUACUCAAAAUUUUUAAUAAAUUUUUUUCUCCCAAAUUUUAAUUGUUCAUAUACAUAAGUAUCUUAUGUAUCAUAAGUUCAUAACUAACAUCCUUAACGAUAUUUAAGGAAAUAAAUCAAAUCUAAUAAUUAUCCAAAACGAUAUUUAAGGAAAUAAAUCAAGUCUAAUAAUUAUUCAAAAUGAUAUUUAAGAAAAUAAAUUAAGUCUAAUAAUUAUCUAAUAUUAUACCUUAUUAAUGUGUGAUUAAUAAAUCUCUUAAUUAUGUAAAUUUUUUUAAAAAAUAUACUCCUCAAAAGAAAUUAACUAAUAAAUCAGCUAGAAAAUUUUAGAACCAAAGAAAAAAGGCCCUUGUAAAAUAAAGGGACAUAUAAAAUUUUAAAACAAAAUAAACACUCAUAUAAAAAAAAUUACUACAUAAGUUUACGAAAAAUUUACUACCUAGUCUACAUAUAAAGAUAUUUUACUACGUAAGUAUGGAAAAAUUUGAAGCAAAAAAAAUGAAUUCCUACAAAAUCUGAAGAACAAGACAACAGUGAACCCCAACCCUUAUACAUAUAGGUUUGCAGAAUACACAUCUCAAGCAUCACAUAUACAUAACAAUAUGAAAUAAACUUGAAAAUAUAAAGAUAAGACAUCAUAUACAAUGUUCUUUCAUAUACAAAAUACUGCAAUGUAUAUGGGGUGAAACACACACAACACGUCUUGUCUAACAGAACCAUAUACAUAACUAUGCUAUAUAUAACACUAUGGUCAAACUCAUCGAUAGCCCCCUGAAGUUGGCACGUUCUUUCACUUUGGCGCCUCAAUUGGACCUUGUUCAUUUUUGACACCUCAAGUAGCUUUAAAGUGUGUCAUUUUGACACUUUUUGCUGAAUCAGCAAAAAUCGUGUGCUACACGCACUAAAAGCGUGUUUGAGGGAGCAUUUUCAUAAUUUUUUCAUCUUCCUUCUCUUUCUUCCUCAUUCUUUCUCUUUUUUCCACCAUUUUUUUUCCAUUAUAAGCUUCCAUUGUUGAGGAAUUAUAAAAAAAACUCACAACCACCACUUUUCUUUCUUUCCUUUUUUCUACAUAGCAAUGUAGAACUGGAAAAAGAAAAGGGGUAGUGAAUUUUGGUACCUGAUAAAUGACUUGCCAUUAAAGGAUUUAUUGUUAUUGAUGUCAUCAGAAACGGGCAAAGGGAAAUCUUGAACCUUAAAAGCAUAAAGACCUUCACUACCACCUUAAAACUUCAACCAAAUGACAUCAACUACUUAAUGGCUGUAGGAAUUUUUUUAACACAACAUGAUACGUAAAUCAAAAUACAUAAGAUGUCUCCGGUGAGCUCUGUGUAAGCACAUUUUUGGUGAGUUUUCGAUGAAAUGAAAGCUGUGUGUGCGUUUUCGGUGGCGAGGUGGGUGUCUCGAUUUGGGGGUGGUAGGGGGGUGGUAGGGAAAUUAAAUUUUAUAAUUUUUUUAUAAUUAUUUAAGUUAAAAUUGCCAAGUGGCAAUAUUUGAUUGGCAUUUUUUUUAUUUUAACUAAAAAUAGAUAUCUAACAAUUAAUUUGGAGAAAAAUGACAAAUGUCAUAAUAUUAUUGAUCAUUUUACACGACAUCGGCGCGUGUAAUACACGCACACGAUAUAUUUUUGUUGAUUCAGCAAAAAAUGUUAAAAUAACAUCCGUGUAUGCUACUUGAGGUGUCAAAAGUGAACAAGGUCCAGUUGAGGUGCCUAAGUGAAAGAUCGUGCCAACUUCAGGGGGCUACCAAUGGAUUUGGCCUAACAUUAUUGAUGCAUAACGUAUACAUAACUCUGUAAUGUAUAUGACCUAAAAUUAAACAUCACAACAGUGUCUUGUUUCAAUACAUAUACAAAACAGAUUUAUAUAUAUGGGUUGAAAUAAAACGUCCAACAAAUGACAUAACUACAAAUAUAUACAUAACUCACUAGGUAUCAUACUUCAAAAUAACAACAUGAAUUUACUAAGUAAUCUAACCAUAUACAUGACAAAUUUAAUGUAUAAGAAGGCGUCCCUAACACUAUACAUAACUGGUUUAUGUAUAAGGUUGAAACAACAACAAAACGCUCUUAUAUAAUAAUGUAUAAGAAAGCGUAAAUCGAUAAAAAAAUACAGAUUCAACAACAAAUCACUAUACCUUUGGAAGACACGGUCGUGAUGAUACUUCACUUUUUUUAUCUUACUUGAAGAUUUAGUAACGGAAUUUUUAGAGCUUGUACGAGCUACUUUCCUUGACUACUUCAUCUAGCGGGGUCGUUUCGAUCUAUUUUCCCUAAAACUCAAAUCAAACUCCAUGCCAUUACUAUGCUUAAGUUUUGAGAAUUACGCACAUGCAACAAGUAACUCGUAGAAUUUUGAUUUAGUAAAAUCAAAAAAAUUAAGAAAAUUUAGCCUCAAAAAUAAAUUAAAGAAGAUGAUGAUGUUCAACAAUUUGAUAAGAUAACAUUUUAGUGUAUGUAAUUAUUUUUAAUUUAAGGAUGUAUAUUUUAAUGUCAGGUAAUAUAUUUUAGUAUAUCCAUUACAUACACUAAAAUGUUAGGUAAUAUAUCUAAGGAUGUAUAUUUUAAUUUUUUUUCCCCAUAAUUUUACCUUUUUGCCCUUGAAACGGGCUUCGCCCAAUUUGUAAAUUUAUGUUAAUGGGCCAGAUUAUUUGUAGUAUGUGGAAAUUAUCCCAAAUAUACUUUUUAGAUUGUUAAUUACAAGUUAUAGCAUAACUUUUCAUUAAUUGCUAGACUUAAGAAAUAAUUACAAACUAUAGCAACUUUUGAGAAAAAUAUAUUUUAAUUAAAUUUUUGAAAAUCAAUUUUAUAAUAUUUAUUAUUUGUAUUAUUUCCUUGUAUUUAGCAUUUAAUAUUUAUCACUAUUAAUUAAAAAAAUUGGAUAAUUAUGGCAAGUUCAGGUAUCAAUAUUUUUUUUAAUAAUUAAAUAUCCAAGUUUGUCCACAAUUUAAGAAGUUAUAUAUGGUAACUAUAUUUUUUAAACUUAAGAUCUGAUUUUAUACUUUUUUAUUAACUUGAAUAAUUAACCUGAUUAUACACUUUUUCAUAUUUUUUAGUUUUUAAUUAUCAAUAGAAAUCUUAUCUCUUUACCUUUUUUAAUUACCAAUAGAAGUCUUAUCUCUUUACUUUCCAUUCAUUAAAUUUCUUCUAAGUAGUGACUCUUCUUGAUCACUAACUAAUAGGAACAAAAAUAUUUUAGUUCAUAAUGUAAUUAUUGAUGUUUUUUAUCUCAUUUAUCCUUCACUUUUUUGACCCCAUUUCCUUAUUAACUACUCGUAGUAUAUUCAAAUUGGAGCAACGUUGGAAUUGAAAAAUAUUAGCAUAAGAAAACACAUAAAAUUUAGCCACCUUUGAAGCACAUAAAUAAUUUGAAUAUUUACGUAACCAAUUGUGUUAGAUGAGUUGAUCCCCAAUCCAGUAUAUACUUGUAAAUUUGUAAAUGACAAAUCACGAGCAUGAUUCAAUUAUCCUAUAAAUAUAUUUUCUAUGCUUCAAUUUAUUUAUCUUAGUUUUUUAAUAUAUUUUUUAAAAAGAUAUAUCUUUUCUAUUUAAUAUAUUUUUAAAUUUAUUUAUCUUAUUUUUUUAAUAUAUUUUACAUGUAUACCUUGAAAACUCAUUUAGAACUUCAAACUCCUGUUUGGCUCGUUGCUAACAUCUGAAAGAUGGUUAGCCAGAGCACAUUUCAUUGUUUUACCUGUAAUGUCCAUCUACUCGAGGAAGAUUCAUUUUUAAGAUACAUUAGCCAAACAAGGAUGUCUUUUAUUGAGUUUUUUUUCAUGUGAGACCUUUAAUAGAUGUAUUGAUUAGUCUGUAAGAUUGUUGUACCAGCAGUUUAUAGGUCGAGGGAUGGUUUCAAUUAGUGUAAUGAUGUUAAUUGCCAAUUAGUGUAAUGAUGUUAACUAAGUCUUGAUGAACACAUUUUUUUUAGGAUAAUCCCACUUUUAAUACGUUGAAAUCAAUUUAUAUACUCAUUUCAUACUUAAGUAAUAUUUUUAUUUUGAGUUCUCAAUGUAUUAAAUUGAUAUCGAUGAAGUCCCGCAUAUAUCACAUUGUAUUGAAUGAGUUUUAUGAAUGUGACAAUCGAUGAGAAAAAAUAUGUUUUAUGUUACAUAACCUUUUUAGUGUAUGUAAUGGAUAUUAUAUGAAAAACUAUCAACGUAAAUGUUGAAAAUAAAUUAAUUGAUAAUUGUUUGAUGUCAAAUAAUUUUUCAUUGCAAUAAAAAAUAAUCAGUAUUAAUCAAGAUUGAUAUUUUUGUUUCCUUUCUGGCAAAAUGAAGAACAUUAUAUAAAUACGAUGUUAAAUAUCAAAAUUUAACUUUGUUUAUACCAACAAUCUUAUACAAAGAGUAAUGAGCACCAAUAAAAAUCAAAAUUUAAUAUUCAUGUUAAAUGUUACUAAUUAUAGAAUCAAAAAAUGUAUAAUUUGAUGUAAUUGAUAUUAAAUUUAAUAUCAUCUGAUGCAACUUAGUAGAGUUAGUAGUUACAGUGCUGCUACAUAGUAGAGUUAGUAUUUAAAAUAUUGUGAGCUACCAUGUGCUGCUACAUAGUAGAGUUAGUAGUUACAGUGCGUUCAUCAUUGCAUCCAGAAGAAGGCUAUUGUAAAAAGAAAAAGAAGCAACAAAUAAUUAUUAAAAAGAAUAACACUAACAAAAAGAAGUCCAAUUAAGUACAAGAAGAAAGAAAUGUUUAUAAAUUAAAUGAAAUGUUUAUAAAUUAUCUUCACAAACUUGUAUGUUUUUGGGCUAUUGUAAAAAGAAAAAGAAACAACAAAUAAUUAUUAAAAAAAAAAAAACACUACAAAAAGAAGUCCAAUUAAGUACAAGAAGAAAGAAAUUAAAUAAAUUACAUGAAAUGUUUAUAAAUUAUCUUCACAAACUUGUAUGUUUUUUGGACCUAUGUUGCAAUGUCAAACCUUAUAAUAACCACCAGUAAUCAUUCCCUUGGGAAAAAUGUAUAUUGCUAUUUAGUGCUAACUUCCGUAGUGGCAAACAUAGAAAAAUUAGCCUGUGACUUUCUUAUGGACUAUAUGCUUAAUUAAUUAGUAAUUAAAUUUCUUUAAGCAUAGGAUUUGAGUUGGUCCCACAUUAUUGAUCCUAAAUAUGUUAGCUUUGUCGUCCCAAUUUGAGAGAGUUUGAAUACGAUUAAUUCUUCAACAACAAACAUAAAUUGAGACUUUAGACACUACGGUUCGUUUGGUAAAAGGGAUAAGAGAUAAUUAAUUUCAAAAUUCAUUUUAGGAUGAACUUAUCCUUCAUGUUUGAUUGAGAUAAAAGGCAUGGAAAAACUCAUCCCGAUAUUUAUUAUUUUGAGAUUUUAUUGUUACUUUUAUCUAUUCUUAAGGAUGAAAUAGCUAAUUCAGAUAACUAAUUUCAAAAUAAUUAAUUUUUCAACAAACCGUGCCUAAGUGUGGUUAAAAUAUUUGAACUUAACAUAAGGGCUCUAGAAGUAUAUGAAUUUUUGUUUAUUAUCACCCAAAGGCCUUCUCAAUCACGACAGGAUUGUGAUUGUUCAAUUUAUAAUCAGGAACGAAUUAUCUCAUCUAAAAUUUUCUUGAAGAAAAACACAUUAGUUUGGUUAUUUAGGAUUAAAAAAAAAAACACUCAUUUUGAUUCCAAACUCGACAAACAUAUCUCAUAUUAUCAAUUUUUGAUUCCAAACUCGACAAACAUAUCUCAUAUUAUCAAUCUAGUUAAUUUCUCAUAUUAUCAUUAAACUAUUGAUAAUAUACCACAAAAGUUAUUUUUAUUUUUUUUAUGACAAAAAUGUCACUCAACUAAUAGUUUAUCUCUUAUAUUGUCAUCCUAACAUUUUAAGCUACUAAACUCACUUAAUUUUCUUAAGUAAUGCUUUAAAUUCAAUUUUAAUAACAUAUUCAUUAAAUUAUACCACCUAAUACAAAUCAAAAAAUGAUUUUAGUAUAAAAGCAAUAAAAUCCACCAAUUCUAAUAUAAAAGCAAUAAAUCCAUCAAAAUAAAAUAGAUCUUAAAUAAAGACAAAUUAUACAUGGUGAAAAUAACUUUAAAAACUUUUUAAAAAGUAUGAGAUUUUAUAAGACCAUUUUUUGUUAGUUUUUAAGGGGUCAUUCUCUCUGCUUCAUAUUAUUUAUCCACUUUUCUCUACACGUUCCAUAUAAAAUUAUAAAUAAAAAGAAUAAUUUUACUAAUUUACCUUAUAAUUUUUAAUAUAUUCUAUUAGUUUCUUAAUAAAUACUAAAAUUUAACAAUAUAAGAAUUUGUUUGAAACUUUAUUAUAUUUAUACUUUCAAAAAGAAUUAAUAUAAAGAUAAAUAAUAAUUAAAUUUUAGUCUUAUAAAUUGACAAAUAACUUAGAAUAUAUGGAACAAAAAAUAAGUUAAUACUUCCCUCAUUCUUAAAUAAGUGAACAAAAGUAAAAUAUAAACUAAGAUAAUUUAACAUGUAUAUUUUAAAAUUGUAUAUCUAUUUUAAAAAUUUAUUAAAUGUAUACAUAUUAAGAAUAUAGAACUUAUUGAUUUUUAAAAAAUAUAUUAAAAUUCAAAAUUCAUAAACUUCAAAUUCCGACUCAAUAAAUGAAAUUGUAAAGAGAAAAAUCUAUAAAUAAUAUGAAAUGGAGUGAGUGUCCCCUUUUCUUUAAAAUAGUUCUAUAAAUCUCAUGUAUUUUUCUUAAUUAUUUUAAAAUAUCUCAAUAUGUCUAAUUUUUGUUUAUUUAAAAUAUAUAUUUCAUUUUGAUGGAUUUUAUUAUUUUUUAUAUUAGACCUAUUUUUUGCUAUGUAUUUAUGUGGUAUAAUUUAAUAAAUUUGUCAUAAAUUUAAACUUAAUUAAGUGAGUUUAGUAGUUUAAAAUGCUAGAAUAACAAUAUAAGAGAUAAACUAAUAGUUGAGUGAUAUUAUUAUCGUAAAAAUAACAAAAGUGAUUUUUAUGAAAUAUUGUCAAUAGUUGAAUGAUAAUACGAGAAAUUAACUCGAUAUCAAUCAUCUGAAGAUGGAUUUGAGGGGGGGAGUGGGGUAAUGAUAAUGUGGGGGUGAGAGUGGGGGUGGGGGUGGGGUGGGUGUAUAUUCCAAGUGUCAAUUCUAAGGUCACCUCCAAUACCAUGGCAAUGAUUACAUACACCUCCAGUGUAAUAUUCCUGGGAAAUGUUUUGCUCCUUUGUCUGUCUGUCUAGACCCCUCAUUUCCUCUUCUACAUCCAUCCAUCUAUCAGAAAAAUAUAUAUAUAUAAGGUCUACAGAUUAGAUUGGAUUGGAUAUGAAUUAUGAUAUAGUGAGGUGAGCAAUUGAGACAUGCCUCUGUCAUGACAAUGACUUGUCUACAUAUUAUUCUCUUUGUGAAAUGAAAUAUUUGCCACCUAUCUAUUCAUCUCCAAUGAUGAUGAAUAUUUUACAGCUAACCUACUAUCCCAUCACACCUCUGCACGUGGCCCAUCCUCUUUAUGCUCAUCUCUUUUUAUUCCCUCCUUGCUCUCUCAAAGAACCAAAUACUUGUAGUCUUCUUUAUCUCUUUCCGAUCAUUUGGUUGGGUGUACAAAUAUAGUAUUGUAAGUAAUAAAAUAUGUUUAAUAAUAGUAUUAUGAUUAGGGAUGUACAGAUAAAUCGUCGAGUCAAAUCAAAUCAAAUUAAGGAAAAAAAUUGAUUUAUGAUUUAAUUUGGUUGUUUUGGUAUUUGAAAAAAAAUGAUUAUUCUUGAUUUGGUUUGGUGUUAAUAAAAAAAAAGGCAAAUCAAACCCAAAUCAAACUGACAUAAAACAUAUAUAUAUGUGUGUAUAUGCAUGUAUAUAAUUUAACUUUUUAUACAUAAAAUAUUAAUUAUAAUCUACUUUUUAAAUACUUUUUCAAUUGGUUUUAUUAAUUUUCAAUAUUUAGAAAGUAGAUGUGUGUGUAUAUCUAUCUAUCUAUCUAUCUAUUUAUAUAUAUUUGCUUAUUUUAGUAUUUUGAAUUAACUAUUUCAUUAAAUGUGAGAAAUGCAGUCUUUAAGAACAGGACUUGCUUCUCAAUUUUUCAUAAUUGUGAUUUUUCAUUAGCACAUGAAUGAAAACAACUUGAUCUAAACUUCAAUCACAAUAUAAUUGUAAAAAAUAAAGAUUAUAAAAAAACCAAGAAAAAAUAAAAAAAAUGAGAAAAAUCGAAAGAACCGACUAAAACCUAAACCGAAAAAAUUAUUUUUUUGUUGGUUUGAUUUGGUUUAUAAUUUUAAUAAACCGACAUAUAUAAUUGGUUUGGUUAUUUUUAAUAGAAAACCAAACCAACCCGACCUAUGUACACCCCUAAUUAUGAUAAUGAUAUUGAUAAUAGUUUUAUUAAUUAUUUAAUUUAUUAUCUUAAAUGAAUACGGUAUGUUAGAAUACAAAUAACAAUAAACAAAAUAUAUUAAAAUAGAGUUAAAUAAAGGUAUCAAAAUAAAUCUAAAUUGAGCUGACUCAUUCAAUUCGUCCAAUAUUUAAUGAGUUGGGUUCAAGAUAAUUUACUAAUGUGUAAGUUUCAAAUCAUUAAGUCUUUACUCAUUUUUAAAUUGAAUUAAAAUGAGUCCAAUUUAAUCUCUACUUCAACUCGUUUAAUAGAAAAAUAAUUUUCUUAAUAAAAAUAGGGAAAACAAGUGACAAUGUGUCCUCCCGCUCUUAAAAUCACCCAACUCACCUCACCCCCACUACCCCUCCAACUUAUCCCAUCCCCACCCGCCUCCAUUAAAUAUGUUAUUUUUAUUUCUUGAAAAGUUUUUAUAAUUUUUUUUCUAGCCCUCACUCCACCCCAUCCUCAUCCCCUUGUCUACCCCAACCCCCACCCCUACUUCCACUCCAAAAAAUUACAACAACAACAACAAACCCAGUAUAUUCUCACGUAGUGGGGUCUGGGGAGGAUAGAGUGUACGCAAUUCAUACCACUAUCUCUAAAGAAGUAGAAAGGUUGUUUUCGAUAGACCCCCGACUCAAGAUAAAAGUCCAUACCACUCCAAAAAAUUAAUUCUUUUAAUUCUUUUUUUAAAAACAUUAAAAUCUUUUCUCACCUCAAAAUCAAUAUGACAAUAUUUCAUUUCCAAAAAAUAUUUUUUUAAAAAAAAAAUAAUCUUUUUUCUAAGAAAAAAAAAAACUCUUACCCCAACCCCUAUUCCUUCCACACCCCCACACUACUUUCAAAUUUUCUUUUUUAAAAAAAAAAUUCUAAAAAAUAUUCUUACCCCACUAUCAUGGCAUACCCCUUUCCCAACAUGUUAUUUUUUAAAAAUUUCUUACCUCAUCCUCAUCCUAACUCCCGAUCCCCUACCCCACACCCCUCUCUAAAUAAUAAAUUUUUUAUUUUAAAAAAAUUAAAUUAAAAAAAAAAUUACCCCACCUCCUCUCUCUACCCGUCCACCCAACUUUUCAACCCUAUUCAAAUUUAUUUUCUUGAGUUGAGUUUACAAUGAAUAAAUAUCAAUAUGUUAAUAUUCUUUAGACUAAGCGGGUCAAGAUCCAAUUCAAUUUUUAUCCAUUUCAAUCCAAUUUCUUUCAAUCCAAAAUAAAUUUGGCGGGUCAUGACCCAACCCAAUAUUCAAUUCAACCCAUUUAAUAUUUUCAAUCUCAACCCAAACCCAACCCGAUAUUCAAUUCGACUCAUUUAAUAUUUUCAAUCUCAACUCAACCUGCCCAUUUGACACCUCUAGAGUUAAAGGUCAAAAACACAUUUAAGCUAUUUCAAUUUUUUGAGUUUCAUUAAACUAUUAAAAGUGUAAAUUUUAUAUUUGAAUUAUUGUCUAAUUGUUAGCGAAACACACUUCAACUAAUAUCUGAUAAUACUUUUCCAAUUAGAAAACAACGAAAAUGAUUUUUUAAAAUUUUAAAUUCAAGAAAUGAAAAUCCAUUAGAAAAAAGGACGGAUGUGCUCUAUAUGUUCGACAACAAGGAUAUGUGUGCUGCAAUUUUAAUGAGUGAUAUAUAAAUUCUACAUUGUAAAGUUAAAAGUAUAUUACAACCUUUUUUCUAAUUUACAGAACAGCCCCAAACCUCAAAUAAAAAUUAAAGAUAUAUGUAAGUUUUGGAAGAAUUGUGAAGAGUAGCUAUAAGACUAUAGCUAGCUACAACAAUGCAACAAGGUGUACUUGAAAAAAGUUGAAACGACUAAAAGAAUUUGGCAUUCAAAACUUCCAAUACAUCAUUUUUGGGAACCAUGGUAGCACACAACACAUCAACUAUUUGAACUUUCUAUCUUAUUUGUGAACUAGUAAAUAUAUUCAUGCGAUUUUAAAAAUAAAUUAAUAAAUUUUUGACAGAUCUUUAAUCAAUUUUAAGAAAUAAUAAUUUGAUUGGAAAAAAGGAUACUGUAAUUAUAACAAUGACAAUGUAUAUUUAAUCAUUUUAUAACAAACAAUUUUUUUUGGUUAAGAAAAAUAUAUGUUACUAAUAAAGAAAAAUUAUGUAUGAUAAAGCUUGUGAUUCCGUCUAUAUUAAUAAAAUUGUCUUGUCGUUACCAUUAGAAAAUUAUUAAGUUCUUUUUUCUUUCGUAAAUUUUUAGAUAAUUUUAUCCAAUAAAAUCUUUGUUAUACUUUUUAGUAAUAAUAUAUAUUAAAGAAAAUUUUAUUAAUCUUAAUAAUUCUUUACGCGUGUGUAAUGUAAUUCAUAUAUGAUCGAAGAUAUGAAUAAUACAACUUCAAAAAUAAAUGAUAAUUUUUAUUAGAAUAUAUUUAGAAUACAGAUGUUACGUGAUGUAAUUCUCACAAUAUUUUUAUUUAUAGGAGCUAUUAAUUCUCUUUGGAGAGGAUACAUAUAAGAUAAGUUUUUUCACAAUGACCAUCCUUAUAUGGUCAAUAUUAAUUGGUCUAAUGAGCAAUUUCAAACCUGAAAAAUCAUGUGUAACAUAAGAGAUGAGGUUGAUAAAAAAAUCAUGUGGAUAAAAAAUGAUAAUUGGGGAUUAAAGAAGAGAGUCACGUGAGAAGAAUAGGGGGAGAAAACAUAUAAAUGUGUAAGCAUUGAAAUUCAUUGAAAUAAUGUAAUAACUCAGGGACUUAAAGCGUCAUAGCCCCAAUAAAAAUUGAAGGAAAUAUCUCCUAAAAAAAAAAGAAAAUAGAUAAUUUUAUACACACGUGUAUAUAGAGAGAGAGAGAUGAAUUAAAAUUUAAUUUUUAAUUUUUUCAAAAGAUUUCCUUAAUCUAAGGAUAGAUUAAAGAAAUAAUUAAAGACAAAACGAAAUGAAACAAAAUAAGGAAUGUAUUGGGCAAUAAUAAAACAAAAACUCAAAUUAAGUGCACAAGCACAAAAUUUAUUUCCUACCUUUCUUAUUUUUUCUUUUUCUUUUUUGUUUAUACUACCAAUUUCAUCCCUUCUUUUUAGUCAAAGUCACUCAUCACCUCCAUCAUAACUUCUUCAAAUUGCCAUUUAUGAUUACUUUUACUUCAUCUUUUAUUAAUAUUCUCUGAAUUUCUUCAUUUUAUUAUUGCACAAAUAAUCAAUAAAAUUUUCAUUCUACUCCAAAAUUUGUACAAAAUUUUCAUAACUUUUCUUUUCAUUUUUCUAAUUUUUUACCAUCCAAAUACUUCUAUAAAUAUAAUUAGCCUAUAAAUUCAUCAUGCACAAAUUAUAAUGUUACAGUGUUCAAAAAGAAGAGAAAGAGGAAGAACAAAAAAAUACAAAUAAAUAUGAAAUACAAUCUUAAAUACAUAUUAUUUCCCUACACUACUAAACUUAUCUUUAACUUUCUUGUCAGACCUUUUAUUUCAUUCUCAUAUAAUGUUACAGUCUUCAAAAAAAGAAGAGGAGAGGAAAAGAGGGAAAAAAAACAAUGAAAAAAUCUAAUACAAUCUUAAAUACAUACUCUUCGCUAACCUAUAAAAUUCAUAUCUAAUUUUCCUGCCAGACCUUUCUAUUUCAUCCUCCUCCUCAUCAUUUAAGUUGAUGCAAUGAAGGCAGAUUUUUGAAAAAAAAAAUGUUGAAUUGUCUAAAUAACUGUUAUUUUUUUUCUUAUAUAUUUAACGCAUUAACAAAGCUGAUUUUGCAGAAGAAGAUGUGUGGUUGAGACUCCAAUACUACUGAAGUACUCCAUUCGUUUCAUAUUAAUUGGCCCAUAUUGACUUGGCACAUCUAUUAAGAAAAUAUUAAUUAGGGGCUUAUUUUAUCAAAUUAGCCUUAUUAAUUAUACUUUGAAAAUAUAAAUUUGAAUAAAUACACUUGUUUUAGUCAUUUAAUUUUACAGGUAGUAUUAAAAGAACAUAAUAAAAUUCUUUUGAUUUAAUCAAAGGGAUAAUUACAUUGAAACAAAUAUUUUUAGAAAGAAGAUCAACUAAAAUGAAUCGGAAGGAGUAAUAUUUAUAGGUUGAAGUUGGCUGCAAUUUAUUUAUGUCAAUAAUGUGAAGUAAUGGUGUUUAAUGUUAGAAGGGAAUAUGGGUAUAGUGAUAGUCACGUGAGAGAGUCGAAAGAAUGUAAAAGUAAUACAGUAACUUUUAAUAGUGGAGUAAUAAUGAAUAACAUAAUGAAGGUGUAUUUUAUUUAUUUAUUUUUGCAGUUGUUUGAACAUCAAUUAAGGAAAUAAAUGUGAAAAGAGAGAAAAAAAGAUAAAUGACAAUGCUGGCUAUAUAUCAUCAGCCUUAUAUUGAUUUUGAUUUAUCACCUUGUUCUUUUCUCUUAUAUAAACUAGUGGCAUACUGUUCAUGAGCACAGGCUUAAUAUUUUUUUAUUUUAUUUAUGUGAUGCAUUUUGCUUUUAAAUUUAUUCAAAAAAGAAUAUUUUUUUAUUUUUAAAAAUAAUUUAUUUUUACAAUUUUUGUUUUAUUUUUUAAUAAAAUAUUGUAUGAUCACAUAAAAUUUAAGAUUUAUUUAUAUCACGAAUUUUAGAAUAGUAUUCUAUUUUUUCUACUCAAUGCUUAAUCAAAUGAUAUGUUUUAUUUAUUUGUACCGAAUAAAAAUUAAAAUUUUGAGCAUUAAGGUCUUAACUUGUAACAAUGUGUUUAAUUUUUUACUUUAAUUCAAUCAUUUAGAUCUCAAUAAAUGUACUGCUUUCAUACUCCCUUUUUGACACAGAUAUGACUAUUGCAAAGUACCUCAUCCGAUCAUUUUUAAUUUAUCAUUUUGUAUCUAUUUAUCAUUGUUAUUGAAUAUUGUUUAUUAUCUAAUACUUAAAUGACUUAUAAUAACUAACUAGAAGAUGAUAUCAAAAAAUUAUUAUAAAAAUCCUUGUGAAAAAAAAUUAAACGGGCUCCAUAUAAGUCGUCACUUUAAUUUAAAACAUUAAAAAUCAACUUAUCAUUUUGUAUCUAUUUUGCAUUUUUAUGAAAUAUUCUUAUUUUUCUAAUGCUUAAAUGACCUAUAAUAAUUAAUUAGGGAUGAUAUAGUAAAAUUACGAGUGAAGUAACGAAACAGACAUGUCUUAAAUGACUUAUAAUAACUAAUUAAAAGUGAUAUAAAAAAAUAUAAAAAAUACUUAAGAAAAAAAAUUUAAGUGGGCCUAUAUAAAACAUCAAGUUAAUUUAUAACAUCAAGAGUUAAUUUAUCAUUUUACGUAUAUUUUACCUUUUUUUAUUAAAUAUUGUUAAUAAACAUUAUUAAUUUUCUAAUGCUUAGAUGACCUAUAAUAAUAAUAAUUAAUUAGGGAUGAUAUAGUAAAAUCAUGAUUGAAGCAAUGAAGCAGGCAUGUCUUAAAUGACUUAUAAUAACAAAGUAAAAGUGAUAUAACAAAAAAAUUAUAAAAAACACUUAUGAAAUUUUUUUAAAUGCGCCCAUAUGAGGUGUGAAGUUAAUUUAAAACAUCAAGGGUUAAUUUAUUAUUUUAUGUCUAUUUUUUUUUUAUUAAAUAUUUAUAAUUUAUUAAUACUUAGAUGACUUAUAAUAAUUAACUAUGGAUGAUAUAGUAAAAUUAUGAUUGAAGCAGUUGAAGCAACCAUGUCAUAAAUAUGUAUUUUAUUUUUUAUUAAAUAUUAUUAAUUUCUUAAUACUUAAAUAACUUAUAAUUAUUAAUUAAAAGUAAUAUGAUAAAAUUACAAUUGAAACUGAUGAAACAACAUAUUAAUCACGAGCAAUCUGCUGCUACUUAAUUGGACUUAUUAUAUAGGAGAAAUUUCUAUAGGUGAAUGUAAAGUUCAAGUUAUAAUUUAUUUAAAUAAUUAUUACUUUUAAAUAGAUAUGCAAAUAUAUGAGAUCAUACAAGUACUAAUAAAGUAAUGAGUCAAUUUUUUAUAUUAUUACUCAGCUUGGAAAAAUAUUUCAUUAAAAUUAUUUAUCUUUUUUUUCUAUUUCAAUAAUAUUAUUCAAGUUUGUGCAUUUUCCUUACAAACUUAUAAUUGCUAAAAGUGACACAAAAAUUUACCAAAAUAGUCUAUCAAAUUUAAAAUUUAAAUUUAAAUAGUUCUUAUUUUUUAUAUGAAAUUAAUAGGCCUCCAAUUAUUUUUACUUUUGUACUUCUUACAUUAGUUUUUAAUAUAUUUUAUCAAUAAGUGCAUAAAAUAAUUUAAAAGGACAAAAAUCAUAAUAUUAAAAACGAAUUAAAAAGACAAAGGAUGUUAAAUUAGAGCUUAAAAUAGGUAGUUAGAAUAUUUUAAAUAAAAUAAAUAAGAAGUACAUUUACUAUCUAAAUUGGUAAAUGUAUUCAGUUUUUACAGCCAAGUUAACGAGGCGAUAUAAUUUUCUCUGAAAUAAUAUCACAAGAUUGAUAAAAAUAAUAUUGAAACCUUAAAACACUUUUAAGUUACGAAAUAGUUAUAUAAAAUCACCUAAUUUUAUUUGAUAAUGAAUGAUUGACGCUAUUAUCAUGAUAUCUGUUAAUAUGCAUUGUUUGCUAUAAUAACUAAUUGUUUGCUAAUUAUCUAAACAAAAGAUAAAACCCAAGAUAAUAGGUAUAAACUAAUUGAAUAAAAAUAAAAUAGAUAAUGAAAAGCAAACGAAGAGUGAAUUUUUAUAUUAACCCUACACUCUUAUGAUAUUGAAUCGAUCAAGAACGAAUUGAGCAUGACACUCAACAACUAAGCAAAAUUAUUAGGCAUAUUCCUAUUCUAGCCAUAAAAUCAUUUUCAGAGUCAUGAGUUCAUAAAAAGGCUCUAUUCAAUUCUAUAUGCAAUUUAAAAUUUUCUCUCUUUGAGCUUAAAUCUAUAUAUUUAGUUACUAAUAUUUAAUAGGUGAUCAAGGAAUGAACAUAAUUAAGUGCAUGGUUGAAUAUAUCGAUAAACUAAUAUGAUAAGUCAAGAAACAAAACGCAGUACCCAAAUAAGAAUAGUCAUGAAAGAAACCAAAUCUGAAGAACAUGAAGUUUAGCUGCAUAGACAUGGUAAAAUAACAACAAAAUAAUCCAAGGAUAUAAAAUUAAAUAACAUGAAAAAGAAAACGUAAAAUCUAAUAAACUCAGGUCUCCACGGCACCCUAAUUAAUUCUUCUCAGGUUAAAAAGUUGCCUAAUAAUCAUAUUUAGGAUGUAUUUAUAGAGUACAUAAUUAUGUUCACUCAUUAAACCAAUAUCUAACAGAAUCAAGUAACACCGGCUCAUUUUUGAUGAUUUUCUUGCUUUUUUAAGUCAAUUUUGGUUUCAAAUACUCCCUCCGUUUCAUAUUAAUUGGCUCAUAUUGACUUGAUACAUCCAUUAAGAAAAUAUUAAUUAGGGGGUUUAUUUUACCAAAUUAGCCUUAUUAAUUAUGCUUUGAAAAUAUAAAUUUGAGUAAAUACACUUGGUUUAAUCAUUUAAUGUUAAGGGUAGUGUUGAAAAAACAUAAUUAAAUUCUUUUGAUUUAAUCAAAGGGACAACUAAAUUGAAACAAAUAUUUUUAGAAAGAGGCUCAACUAAAACGAAACGGAGGGAGUAAUUCAAAACUCAUCUAAUCAUCACAAUACACCAAUAUAAACACAAUCACUAUAAUUAAUACUCCAAACAAUGAUGAAAAUACUGAAUGUGAAAUAAAUAAUACUAAUUAAAUACAUACAUUUAAGGCUGAACAUCAAUAAUUUUAACUCGAAAUAUAUAUAUAUAUAUAUAUAUAUAUAUAUCAAACAAAUUGGGAUAUAAUUUCAAAUUUUAAAUUCACAAAGUUCAAAUUCUAAAAAAUCUGGUGAUCUCUCUCCUUCCCUUUCUCUUCCCCUUCUGAACGUCCAAUACAAAAAAGGGGAGGGGGACGAAGAAUACACCAUUUAACAAAUGAGCAAGCAACUCAUGCAAGGAACACCAUUUUAUUUGCAACGGUGGUAAAAAUUUCUUCCCACCAAAGUAAUUAUACACCUAAUGAAUAAAUAUUUGAUAGAAGUUUCACACAUAUUUUUAUUAAUUUAUUAUAAUAUAUAUAAUAUAUAUUAUGAUAUCAAUAUAAUUUAAUUAGAAUAAAUUAAAUAGCAUAAAUAUAAACACUUGCGACAAUGAAUAUUUACCGAAGUUAAAUCCAUUUAUUGUUUCUUGUCUUCAUACUUGUGGUGGGUGUAAAUAUUACCAAAAGUUAAAUGCAUUUAUAGUUUCUUCAGUUCUUUUACAAAAUAACAAUAGUAUUUGUAGACAUUAAAAUUUUGUGGACUCUACAAAAAAAAGUACAAUUUUUGUUAGAGUUCUUGGGAGGGCUACUCAAUCUAAACCCUAAAUUAUGCUUAUAUAAAGGGGGCAAAUAUCCCUUUAAAGAGGCAUCUUCAGUAUCCCACAAAUUCACGGGAUAUUCACAAAGAGAUCAAAGAUCUGAAAAGUCCCAAUAAAUUCAUGGGAUAUUCAUAAAGAUCAAAACCCUCUCUUCUUUAUAAUCAAAUAUAUCAAGAAGACAAACCCUCCUUUCAUGGAGAUCAAAUCCAAAUGUUCCUACGUUCGAGAAAUACGCCACUAACGGCCCUCGAAUUACAGGAAAAUUCAUAUCCAAAUCUUCAUACAUUCGAGAAAUAUGCUACUGACGACCCUCGAAUUACGGAGAAAAUCAAGGGGGGAACAAAUUUGUACCCCCAUCGUUUAUCAAUAAAACUGUUGUUUCUUCAUAUUUUUAUUUGUGGUUGAAGUUUAUUUUCCAUGAAUUAAAUUAUGUUGGAAACAAAUUGGCACGCCCAGUGGGAUUAUCUCUACCUCUCAUCUCAACUUUUCCAACUGCAAAGUUCAACAACACCGAAAUGGCUUCCAAGAAUGUCAACUCUCAAUCAACUGCUUCCAAGGCUGCUGAUUCAAAGUUCUCUGCUGAAGUAGAAAGCAUCUUUGGUGUUACUUUCGAAAUCUUAGGAACUGUCACAAGGAGCAAGGCAGGCUUGCUAAGACAACAAACACAUCUGGUGUCGUCCGCGCCAACUUCAGUUUUUGGAUCGUCAACCCUAAAAGGAAUGAAGUCCAAUGCAAGUGCAUCAGAAGGAGGAAGCAGUGUGACAAAAUUGCUUAAGAGGACUCUAGCUCUACUUGAGCAUUCCGAUUCCAAAUACUCUGGCACAAAGAACGAUGAUCGUUCAAGCAACUCAUCAUCUCCGACUGCACCGCAUAAGUUGAGCACCUCAAAGAUCAACUUGUGUGAUAAUCCAUGCUACUCUUCAACAUCUCCGGUGAUUAUACAAGUGAUGGUGACUGAUGCCUCAUCUAUGGAGAAGCAACUUGUGAAUCUGACAAAGGCAAUUGAGAGCCUGACCAAAUAUGUUCAGAAUCAAGAUGCUCGAAUUGAUAAGAUAAUGGAUAGGGUGAAAGGCCUGAUAGACGGGGAGUCUAGCCACGCUCCUGGAAAAUCUCUAGAAGAUCACGAGACAGAAUAUUCUGUGAAGCAAACACCACCGACUAAAGAGGUACGGGUUUCUUCUGAGGGGAUGAUCCCGAUUGAGCAAUUGAAGGAAUUCAUUGAAGAGACCCUCAAAGACAAGUAUGAUGUUGUCUCCAAGUCUUCCCUUAUGUAUGCCAAGCCAUACACUGCGAGGAUAGAUAGCCUCAAAAUGUCUGUCGGUUAUCAACCCCCCAAAUUUCAACAAUUUGAGGGCAAAGGGAACCUAAAACAGCAUGUAACAAUGCUGAAACUUACGGUGACUAUCUUGUCAAAUAGUUUAUUCAUUUCCUAAAAGAAAAUGCCUUUGACUAGUAUAUGGACCUUGAGCUUAAUUCCAUCGAUAGUUGGGAGCAAUUAGAGCACGAGUUCCUAAAUCACUUUAAUAGUAUAAGGCGUACAGUGAGCAUGGUAGAGCUCACAAAUACUUGACAAAUAAAGGAUGAAACAAUCAUUGACUUCAUCAAUAGAUGGAGAAAUGUUAGCCUCAACUGCAAAGAUAGGCUCAGCGAAGCUUCUGCAAUAGAGAUGUGCGUCCAAGGAAUGCACUGGGAACUUCUCUACAUCUUGAAAGGCAUUAAGCCUAAAUCCUUUGAAGAGCUAGCUACCCGAGCUCACGAUAUGGAGUUGAGCAUGUCUUCUGCUGGAAAGGGAUUAACACCUAUCCAUGACCCUUGGAUGGGAAAGGAUAAGCAGGAACCCAAAAGAUGGGGCAAGUUUGUUCCCGAAAAUGACAACAAGGAGUCCAUGAAUAUUGAUAUGUUUCCUGUGAAGGUAACCACAAAGGUGAGCAAGAAGCAAAGUGUGAAGACAAUUUUUGGAGCACGUUUGAAUCAGAAAGCUUUGAAGGAGAUACAAGAAAAAGAAUAUCCCUUCCUUGAUUCUGAUGUUGCUGAGAUUUUGGAUGAACUCCUUGAGCAUAAGCUCAUUGAACUCCCAGAGAUGGAAGUGUCCCAACGAAGCUGGGAGGACCAAUGACCCUAAUUAUUGUAAAUAUCAUAGGAUCAUAAGCCACCCUCUGGAAAAGUGCUUUGUCUUUAAAGAUAAAGUCAUGCAACUGGCAAAAGAGAAGAAGAUCUUCUUCGACGAUAAGACUACCACUUCUCAUCAAAUCUCCUUCACGUUUGGCUCAUUCAAUUAAUUCCAAAUAUAUAUCGAAGAGCAUAAUAAAAAAAUAUUAGAGCCUGACAGGUCUUCAAAUGACGAAGGUGAUGAUGAAGGUUGGACUCUGGUGACCAGACGCAGACACAAGAAGAUAAGUCCGCAAAAGGAGUCAUCCAAGCAACCAACCAGAAGGAGAAUAGUGAAAAAACUAAGAAAACAGAAAUUGGUUGAAUUACCAAAAAAGACAAGGGUGAUGGAGCUUCACCCUUAAAAAUCUCGGCGUUCGGCGACUUUUGAAGAAUUCUUACCAAGUUGGUUUCGUGUAAAGACUGCCCAAGUCAACCUUGAGACGUCCUAUUUUAAUACCACCAAAGAGGGGGCAAAGGGUGAGAAUCUACCCAUGGAAGUUCCUUCACCUUCUGAAAAGCUUGCUGAAACUCUUGGCAAAGAGGCACAUGUGUGUGAUACAAAAAUCACAUUCACAAAUAACGAUCUUCUUCUUGGUGAGGCCCUACAUAACCGUCCCUUAUACAUGGUGGGUCAAAUUCUAGGAAAGAAGAUCAAUAGAAUCUUGAUAAAUGAGGGAUCUGGAGUCAACAUCCUGCCUAUCCGCACGAUGAAGGAACUUGGCAUUGCUACUAGCGAACUAGACGAAAGUCGUAUAAUGAUCCAAGGCUUCAACCAAGGGGGCCAGAGGGCCAUGGGAUGUAUCAAGUUGGGGAUUCGUAUGAAUGAUUUUUAAUCAAACCCAUUGAUGCAUGUGAUCGAUACCAAAACUUCAUAUAAUAUAUUGCUUGGUAGGCCUUGGGUGUACGGGAACAAAAUUAUUUUGUUCUUUUACAUCAAUGUUUAAAGUACCUCGAAGGUGGAGUGGAAAGAAAGAUAGUUGCCUAUGACAAGUCAUUCACUGAAGAUGAGUCACAUUUUGCCGAUGCAAAAUUCUACUUAAAGAAUCAUGUUGUGGAUGAGAAAAGGGUUGAAGAUGUCACCAAGACCAAGUGUGACGAUCUUGCAUCUAAGAAGGUCGCGGUAACUGUCAAAAAAGUCCCCAACAAGUAGCCUCUCUCCACUUCAAAAAAAAAAAGUAUCACUUCUACGAAAAAGAAGGUAACUCCCAUUCUUCGCUACGUACAGAAGGUAAAGAAAGAGAAAGAUCAUCCAUCGGAUUCCCAAGAUAAUGUGCUAAAGGGGCUAACUUUACCUAUCAGGAAGAUUAAUGCAAUAAAUGCAUCCUCAAGGCUUCUUGAAGAGUUUGUGGCUCAAAAUCUGCCACAAGAUAUGACAUUCCCUACUAAGCGUACGAAAUAAGGCUUUGACUCAAAUGCAUACAAGCUAUUUGUAAAGGCUGGAUACAAUCCUAAUGAGCCAUCAAGGUUGGGCAAACUUUCGUUGGAGGGUAUAACCAGACAGGCAUGUGAAGGCCUAGGAUACGCGCAGCCACCUCCAAUAAGAAGGGCAGUCAGUAAUUACAUCACAGUGGAAGAAGAAUCCACUGCUGCUAAUAAAUCCCCCCCGUAUUUUACCGACUUGGAGGAUUAACUGCAAGAAUUUUUCUAUUUGAAAGGUUGGGACCUCUAAAUAAGAAGAAAAAUAAUAAGCGUAAGAGGAGUCGUUAAAGCACGAUGAUGCACUCUUCACUUAAAAUACAGAAGAAUUUCCAAAGUUUGAUUUCUUCUAGAAUGAAGCGACAGACAAAACUGGUAGUUUCAUGCAACAAGGUGUUAAAACCAAAGACUCAUAUUGUGGUUUAUACCAAGGAACGUGAGGAAGAUGAAGAAAGUGUUGGCUCCUCAUAUCAUAUUACGGCCUAAAAUGAGAAUGAAGCCUCAUCUCAAAUAAAGAUUGAUGAAGAGAUGGGAGACACUUUCUAAUGUCACCACAUAUCCAUCAGCGACGAUGAUCCCCAAGAGGAGGAAGAUGCUAGAGAUACUCCAUCUCAACUUAAAGAAGGAGUGAAGGCCAUAAUAGAUCCCUUAAAAGAAGUUAAUCUUGGAACCGAUGAAGACCCAAGACCAACUUACCUGAGUGUUUUUCUAGAGAUGGAGGAAAAAAUCAUGUAUAUGGAUAUACUCAAAAAAUAUAUGGAUGUCUUCGCUUAGAGUUAUAAGAAAAUACAUGGCUUAGAUUUGAAAGUAGCGGUCCAUCAGCUGGCGGUUAAGAAUCGUGCCCGUCCUAUUAAUCAAGCCCAAAGAUGCUUUAGGCCGGAGUUAGUUCCUUUAAUUGAAAAUAAAGCUAACAAACUCAUUGAAGCAGGUUUUAUUCGUGAAUUCAAGUAUCCCACAUGGAUUUUAAGUAUUAUUUCAGUACAAAAGAAGAAUGGCCAAAUUUGAGUUUGUGUCGACUUUCGGGUUCUCAACAACGUGUGCCCAAAGGAUUACUUUCCAAUCCCUAUACCAGAUUUGAUGAUUGAUGCCACCACUGGUUAUGAGGCAAUGUCCUUCAUGGAUGGUUCAUAUGGCUACAAUUAAAUCUGUAUGGCGCCAAAGGAUGAAGAACUCACUGCAUUUCAUACGCCCAAAGGUAUUUAUUGCUACAAGGUAAUGCCUUUUGGUUUGAAGAACGUUGGUGCUACUUAUCAAAGGUCUAUGCAGAACAUCUUUGAUGGCCUGCUCCAUAAAAAUAUUGAAUGCAACGUGGAUGAUCUAGUGGUGAAGUCAAGAAAGAGAGACGACUACUUAAAAGAUCUAAGAAUGGUAUUCGAGUUACUUUGAAGAUAUCAACUUAGGGUGAAUCCAUUGAAGUGUGCCUUUGGAGUUACUUCUAAAAAGUUUCUUGGCUUCAUUGUGCGAUAUCAAAGAAUUAAAAUUGAUCAAGACAAAGUUGAUGUAAUUUUGAAGAAGCCCGAGCCUCAAAAUAUUCUUGAGUUAAAAAACCUUCAGGGAAGGCUAGCAUAUUUAAGGAGGUUCAUCUCAAACCUGGCCGGGAAAUGUCAACCAUUUAGUCGUCUCAUGAAGAAGGACACUCCCUUCGAAUUGGACCAAGCUUGUAGCAAUGCCUUUGAGAGUAUCAAAUCAUACUUAAUAAAGCCACUAGUUCUUCCGGCACCCAUACCUGGGAAACCAUUGAUACUCUACAUCGCGGCACAAGAGUGGUCAGUUGGAGCACUACUGGCUCAAGAAAAUAGUGAAGGCAAAGAAAACUCUCCUUACUAGUUGAGCAGAAUGAUGACGCCGAAUGAAUUGAAGUAUUCUCUGAUCGAAAAUUUAUAUUUGGCAUUGGCUUUCUCAGACCAAAAGAUGAAACACUACUUUCAAGCUCAUGUUGUUCAUCGUUUGUCCAAGGCAAAUUCCAUUAAGUUUGAGAUGUCGAAACCAAUCCUCAGUGACCGACUUGCAAGGUGGUGCCUCUAAUUUUAGCAGUUUGAGAUCGUGUACAUGCCCCAAAAGGCUGUAAAAGGACAAGAAUUGGCUGACUUCUUGGCAGAUCACCCAAUACCUGAUGACUAGGAACUGAGCGAUGAACUUUCUGAUGAAGAUGAAAUGGUUAUUGAUGCUAGACCCUCAUGGAAGAUGUACUUUGAUGGUGCCGCACAUCGAGAUGGAGUUGGUGCCGGUGUAGUAUUCGUCACUCCACAAGAAGAGGUCAUCUCAUACUCUUUUACCCUUAUAAACCGUUACUCUAAUAAUGUUGCUGAAUAUCAAGUUUUAAUACUUGGACUUGAGAUGGCAGUUGACAUGAAACAACUGUAAUUACAAGUCUUUGGUGACUCCCAAUUGCUAAUCAAGUAGCUUUUGGGAAGCUAUGAAGUCAGAAAGCCUGAACCAUAUCAUGAUUAUGCACAGAAGUGAAUGGGGUAGCUUGGAAAAGUAACCCUCCAACAUGUGCCAAGGAGAUAAAAUAAGCAAGAUGAUGCCCUAGAUUCUUUGGGCUCAACCCUGACUCUUCCAAAUCAGACGCAAGUCACUAUCCGCCAAGAAUGGGUAGCACCGCCAGCAACUGAAGAUGAAGAAAAUAAAGUAGAAUACCUUAUUAUCAUAUCUGAAGCUGAAAAAGAAGAUUGGUGACAACUUAUCAUUGAUUACUUAUGUUAUGGAAUACUUCCAGAGGACCCAAGGAGAAGGACAGACAUUCAUCGUCGUGCGCCUCACUUCCUUUACUAUAAGGACACACUGUACAGAAGAUCAUUUGAAGGAGUACUCUUACGGUGUCUGGGUGAGGAAGAAGCAAUUCAAGCUUUGCAAGAAGCAAACUCGGGAGUGUGUGGAUCGCAUCAAUCUGGACCGAAACUUUAUUUUCACAUUAAAAGGAUGGGAUACUAUUGGUCAAUGAUGGUGAAAGAUUGCUUAAACUAUGCUAGAAUAUGCAAAACUUGUCAAUUUCAUGUGAAUUUCAUUCAUCAACCUCCUGAAGUACUACACCCAACUGUAGCUUCUUGGCCGUUCAAUGCCUGGGGAAUGGAUGUUGUUGGUCCGCUACCAAAAUCUUCUGUUGGACACUUGUACAUCUUGGUCGCGACAGAUUACUUCUCAAAGUGGGCCGAAGUUGUUGCUCUUAAGGAAGUAAAGAAAGAAAAUGUUGCAAACUUCAUCUGAGUGGAUAUCGUCUAUCGCUUUGGAAUCCCUCAAUAUAUAAUAACUGACAAUGGCAAGCCAUUUGAUAACAAAAUGAUGAAUAAGAUUUGUGAACUCUUUGGCUUGAUGCAGUGCAAGUCUUCUAUGUACCAUGCUGCCGCCAAUGGUCUAGCCGAAGCAUUCAAUAAGACUUUAUGCAACUUAUUGAAGAAAGUCAUCUCCAAAUCCAAACGAGACUGGCAUGAGCGAAUGAAAGAAGCUUUAUGGGCGUAUAGGAAAACUUACCGUACACCAACACAAGCAACUCCAUACUCAUUUGCUUUUGGAGUUGAAGCAGUCCUGCCACUUGAGCGUCAAAUACCUUCUUUGAGACUGGUUAUUCAAGAAGGGCUCACCGAUGAAGAAAAUGCUAAGUUGCAUCUUGCAGAGUUAGAAGCUCCUGAUGAGAAGAGGCUGGAGGGUCAAUAAAAUAUUGAAUGCUAUCAAUCCCGGCUAUCUCGUUCUUUCAACAAAAGAGUUCGCUUGAGGUGCUUCCAAGUUAGAGACCAAGUCCUUGCAGUAAGGAGACCCUUUAUCACUUUUCAUAAGUCUAGGGGCAAAUUUACCUUGAAGUGGGAUGGACCAUAUGUUGUACAAGAGGCUUAUUCAAAUGGUACUUACAAGUUUGUCGAUGCAGAUAGCGUGAGGAUUGGAUCCAUAAAUGCCAAGUUCUUGAAGAAGUACUAUCCCUAAAGGAAGAUAAAACUCCUUAAGGUACGAGUAUAAACUGCAUGUACACUCCUUAAGGAACGAGUAUAAACUGCAUGUACACUCCUUAAGGCACGAGUAUAAACUGCAUGUCCACUCUUUAAGUCACGAGUAUAAACUGUAUGUCUACUCCUGGCCCGCAAGAGUAUGAAAUGUGUACGGCUAAAAAAAAAAGAAAUAAAUAAGUUCGCUAGGUUGAAAACCUCGAAAUAGGUGGCCUAGGAAAAUGUUAGGACAAAAAAAAAAGUCACCCGGAACUAUGUUGUGACUUGAUCCUCUUACUGAGGUAAGUAGAUGCUUGAAAUUUUAUUCUGAGUUCAGUUGCAUGAGUGUUAACAAAAAAUAUGUUCCUGCAAGUAUCUACCAUAUGGAUACCAAGUAUGAAACUACUCUAAUUAAAUUUUGGACUUACUCUAAAUAUCAGUGACUCAAUGGAGGCAACCCAUCGAAAAGAAAGAAAGUUCCUUCAAUGAGAUUUGGAAUGUCAAAGUUCUCCAAGCCUACAACUAGAAGGAUCUCAAAAUUUUCAUGCCUUAAGGUAGACAAGAUUUGUUCCUUUACCCCUUAAGUAGGCCUCUAAUGAGUUUAUCCUUAAAGGAUAUUAAAAUUUUCAUGCCUUAAGGUGGACAAGAUUUGUCCCUUUGCACCUUAAGCUAACCUCUCACGGGCUUAUCCUUAAAAGGAUAUCGAAAUUAUCAUGCCUUAAAAUGGACAAGAUUUGUCCCUUUGAACCUUAAGAUGGCCUCUAACGGGUUUAUCCUUAAAAGGAUGUCAAAAUUUCCAUGCCUUAAGGUGGACAAAAUUUAUCCUUUUGCACCUUAAGCUGGCCUCUCACGGGUUUAUCCUUAAAGGAUAUCGAAAUUUCCAUGCCUUAAGGUAGACAAAAUUUGUCCUUUUGCACCUUAAGCUGGCCUCUAACGGGUUUAUCUUUAAAAGGAUCUCAAAAUUUCUAUGCCUUAAGGUGGACAAAAUUUGUCCCUUUUCACCUUAAGCUGGCCUCUCACGGGUUUAUCCUUAAAGGAUAUCGAAAUUUUCAUGCCUUAAGGUGGACAAAAUUUGUCCCUUUGCACUUUAAGCUGGCCUCUCAUGGGUUUAUCCUUAAAAGAUAUCGAAAUUUCUAUGCCUUAAGAUGGACUAAAUUUGUCCCUUUGCACCUUAAGCUGGCCUCUAACGGAUUUAUCCUUAAAAGGAUCUCAAAAUUUACAUGCCUUAAGGUUGAUAAAAUUUGUCCCUUUGCACCUUAAGCUGGCCUCUAAAAGGCUUAUCUUUAAAGGAUAUCGAAAUUUUCAUGCCUUAAGGUGGACAAAAUUUGACCUUUUACAUCUUAAGCUAGCCUCUAACAGGUUUAUCCUUAAAAGGAUCUCAAAAUUUCCAUGCCUUAAGGUGGACAAAAUUUGUCCCUUUGCACCUUGAACCUUAACCUGGCCUCUCACAGAUUUAUUCUUAAAAGGAUAUCAAAAUUUUCAUGCCUUAAGGUGGACAAGAUUUGUCCUUUUGCACCUUAAGCUGAACAUUGAAAAGGGUCCAUACUUAAAGAAAAUCACUGCACCGUCUUCAAGUAAAAUUAGUCAGACUUAAGGUGACGGAGGCCAAGUUAAACUCUCGCACCUUAAGCCGAUGUCCACCGUCUUCAAGUAAAAUUGGUCAGACUUAAGGUGACGGAGGCGAAUUUAAACUCUCGCACCUUAAGCCGAUGUCCUCCGUCUUCAAGUAAAAUUGGUCGGACUUAAAGUGACUGAGGCGAAGUUAAACUCUCGCACCUUAAGCCUAUGUCCACUAUCUUCAAGUAAAAUUGGUUGGACUUAAAGUGACGAAGGCGAAGUUAAAAUCUCGCACCUUAAGCUGAUUGUUGCAUAUUGCAAUCUGUUUUAAUUCUCAAAAAAAAAAAAAAAAAAAAAAAAAAAAAAAAAAAAAAAAAAAAAUAGAAAAAAUGUUACCUAUCAAAGCGUUGUGAUCUUAAAAGUUGUAUAUUACUAACUUGGAUUGAGACAAGAUGCUUUGAUGGAAAUAAAGCCCUUAAAAUCUAGUUUGAGGCAAUUAAAAUGCCCUUUGGUGGUGAUGGUCCCACAUCAAGAAAUAAAUUAUUCGGUGAGGCAAUGCAAAUCUGGAAUCCUUUGUCGGACAACAUAUAAAAUCGACUUCAAAAAAUCAUCUAGAACAAUAAAAAAAAUGUUAAAAUCCAAAUUUUGGAUAUGUUAUACAUGCAUGUUUUUUAAAUCUAUAGAAUCAAGCGGAUUAUAAUUUUGGUACUCUCACAUUGAGAUAUAAUUUUUUUGGUGAUGUCGCGUAAAUCUGAAAUUGUUAAUGCAUCAAAACUCAAUGUUUAUUUCGGGAUAACAUCUGAAAAUAUCUUGAUUGUAUUAAAUUAUAAAUUUUGGAUAUGUUAUAGAUAUUUGUGUCUAGUUUCACAAGAAUUAGACAGCUUGUGAUUCAUCCUUCCUACUUCAAGAUAUGAAAGUUUUAGUAAUGUCGCGCAGAUCUGAAAUUUUCAGCAUGAUAAAAUUUAGGGCUAACUUCAAAAAAUUAUCGAGAAUUAUAUUGAAGGAAUUUAAAUCUAAAUUUUUUAUAUGUUAUAGAUCUCGAAGUCUGAUUUCUGGAAUAUCAAACGGUUCAUAAUUUCAAUAUUCUUACAAUUAGAUAUUAAUUUUCUUCCAUUAACAUGCUGUGCUAAAAAAAAGUGACGAAAAUAAGAGAAAAGUAGGAGGGAAAGAAAUUACCUCAAUAUUGUUGACGGCUUGAAAACCCCAAAAUUGAUAUUGAAAAAGUGGGGAAACUACCUCCUUUUAUAGAGCUAUAGAAUGAAUGUUUUCUUCUCCAAUAUAAAUUCAGAUUGGAAUAACGUCCAUCUCCAAAUUCAAAUUGGAGAUUGUUUCUUUCUCCAAUAUAAAUUCAGAUUAGGUUAGCUUCUAUCUCCAAAUUCAAAUUAGAGAUUGUUUCCUUUUCCCAUACAAAUUCAAAUUUGAAUUUAUUUCCUUCUCCCAUACAAAUUCAAAUUGGAGGUUGAUUUCCUUCUUCCAUACAAAUUCAAAUUAGAGAUUAUUUUCUUCUCCCAUACAAAGUCAAAUUGGAGGUUGUUUCCUUCUCCAAUUUAAGUAUAAAUCAGAAGAGUUUUAUUCCUAGUUAAGUAAGGCAAUGAAAAAGUUUUCCAAAACUAUUUGAAAUUGGAUAUCAUGCCUCACCAACGUGUCUUAAGUAUAGAGAUUCAUGAAAAAAAAAUAAGAGAGCUUUGAGAGACAAUGUCAAUAUGGUUCGGCUUUAAAGUUUUUGAAUGAGGUGUUCUUAUGUAUGGAAAAUCGUUGAAGCACGAAGGAAACAUGUUUAAAUAAUCAUACUUUAAGGCUAGUCUCUAAAAUAUUAAAUGUCUCGACAAUUCUUGAAGUAGGGGACAUUUGUGGGCGAUUUAAUUUUAUUAAAUUUAAAUCCGUACAGAAUUUGGAUUAUAUUAAAUUCAAAAUAUAUUAGUCCCAAAUAAAUAUUGCAGAUUAAUAUAAUUGAAUUAAUUAUUUACGUUCAAAUAGGUAUGGAUUUAAAUAUGGCCCAAUAUUUAUUGGGUUAGUCCAUUAAUUUGGGCUACAAAUGAUGAGCCCACUUUACUAAGCCCAAGAUAUUGUCAUAUUCUAGAGUCCCAAAUAAGCACCACGUGUCAAAUGACGUGGCAUGCCAAGUCAAGUGAAGGAGCCAAUAGGACCGUGCCACAUGUCAAACUGAUGCAGGAGACCCAUGAAAUAAAAGCCCAUAAAAGGCGCCACAUCACUUAAAUCUGAUUGGUCAAAGGAAAUCCAUAUUCAUCAUGACUCUUCCUUUCCUAUAACUAUAAAUAGGGGCCUCAUAAUUUAGAAAAAAAGACCACCCCUCCCCUAGAUCUCUAACAAGUAGCAAGAGAAAGCUCGUGGAUCAAAUGCCGCAAUGUCUAUAAAAAGUUCAAGAAUUCAAAUCAAGUUCAUCAAGAUUCAAGAUCAAGACCGCAAUAUUCAAGAACAAGCUCAAAAGCCCUUGAAUUCAAGCACAAGUCAAGACCAAGUUCCUCAAGUCCGCAAACCAAGUUCAAAGUUAAGAUUAAGCUUUAAGCCCUUGAAUUUAUAUUUGAAAAGGCAAAUCAGAGGAUCCAUAGAGAUUGUAACACUCGCAUUGAAAUCAAUAAAUUGAUAGUUGCAAUAUUUUUCUUGUCUCGAUUAUUCAUUUUUCGGUCUCAAAAAUUUUAUUAUCCAACAAUUUGUGGGCAAUGCAAUUUUAUUAAAUUUAAAUUCGUACAAAAUUUGGAUUAUAUUAAAUUCAAAAUAUAUUAGUUCCAACUAAAUAUUGCGGAUUAAUAUAAUUGAAUUAAUUAUUUAAGUACAAAUAGGUAUGGAUUUAAAAAAGGCCCAAUAUUUAUUGGGUUAGUCCAUUAAUUUGGGCUACAAAUGAUGAGUUCACUUUACUAAGCCCAAAAUAUUGUCAUAUUUUAGAGUUUCAAAUAAGCAUCACGUGUCAAAUGACGUGGCAUGCCAAGUCAAGUGAAGGAGUCAAUAGGACCGUGCCACAUGUCAAACUGAUGCAGCAGACCCAUGAAAUAAAAGCCCAUAAAAGGCGUCCCAUCAGUUAAAUCUGAUUGGUUAAAGGAAGCCCACAUUUAUCAUGACUCUUUCUUUCCUACAACUAUAAAUAGGGGCCUCAUAAUUCAGAAAAAGGACCCCCCAGAUCUCUAACAAGUAGCAAGAAAAAGCUCGUGGAUCACACGCCGCAAUUUCUCUAAAAAUCUCAAGCAUUCAAAUCAAGUUCAUCAAGAUUCAAGAUCAAGACCGCAAUAUUCAAGAACAAGUUCAAAAGCCCUUGAAUUCAAGCACAAGUCAAGAUCAAGUACCUCAAGUCCACAAACCAAGUCCAAAUUCAAGAUUAAGCUUUAAGCCCUUGAAUUUAUAUUUGAAAAGGCGAAUCGGAGGAUUCAUAGAGAUUGUAACACUCGUAUGGAAAUUAAUAAAUUGAUUGUUGCAAUAUUUUUCUUGUCUCGAUUAUUUAUUUUUCGAUCUCAAAAAUUUUAUUGUCCAACAAAUUCUGGCACGCCCAGCGAGACCAAAUCUAUCCUUCAUCUCUUCUCUCAUAAAUUAAAUAUGCAAAUCUGUAGUCGCAGGAUAGUAAAGAUGGAAGCGGUACUUCAAGACUGGUUUUUGAGUUUCAUCAAGUCUCCACUCCGACAAACCUUGAAGCAGGGGGUAUUUGUAGACAUUGAAAUUUUGUAGACUCUACAAAAAAGGUUCAAUUUUGGUUAGAGUUCUUGGGGGCUACUUCCCCUAAAUCUAGCUUGAUGGCUACUCAAUCUAAAUCCUAAAUCAUGCCUAUAUAAAGGGGGCAAAUAUCCCUUUAAAGAGGCAUCUCUAGUAUCCCACAAAUUCAAGGACAUUCACAAAAAGAUCAAAGAUCUGAAAAGUCUCAAUAAAUUCAUGGGAUAUUCAUAAAGAUCAAAACCCUUUCUUCUUGAUAAUCAAAUACAUCAAGAAGACAAACCCUUCUUUCAUGUAGAUCAAAUCCAAAUGUUUCUACGUUCGAGAAAUACGCCACUAACGGCCCUCGAAUUACGGAGAAAUUCAUAUCCAAAUCUUUAUACAUUCGAGAAAUAUGCUACUGACGGCCCUCGAAUUACGGAGAAAAUCAAGAGAGAAGAAUCUAUGGAGGAACAGAUUUGUACCCCUAUCGUUUAUCAAUAAAACUGUUGUUUCUUCAUAUUUUUAUUUGUGAUUGAAGUUUAUUUUUCAUGAAUUAAAUUAUGUUGGAAACAGUACUAUAUUCCAGAAUGCAACUAUUUUGACAUAAAAUUGUUCAUUCACAUCAACCCCACAUAGCGUUUGAUCACCCAAGUCAACUUCACUCAACCUCUGUGCCUAGAACCAGUGCCACCCACUAAUAAAUAGUUAUAUAUAUAUAUUUUUCUCACCUGAAAUAAAGGAACUAGUAUUCAUUUACGACUCUAAAAUAUCAUGAAUAAGUUUAAUAUGGACCCUUUAAGCUUUUCUUGUAUUUUCUUUAACAAGUUCCAAGCGAUGAGAAUGAAAAGGUUACUGUAGCCAUAACAACAUGUACUAUUGAUGCUUCAAAAGCUUAGAUUCUAAGGAUGCUAUUAAAUAGAAAGUAUUUUUUUCCCCAGUUUAUAUGAAAGGUUUUAGACUAUGAGAGGCCAUGUAUUUGAUUUUGAUAUUGAAUUCGGUAAUAAAAUCCUCAAAGUUCUAUGAAUGUAAUUUAUAUAUUUAAAAACUAUAUAAAAAUAAUAUGAUAAAUCACCGUAACUAAUUAAUGAUUCAAAAUAUUUAAAAAGAGUGAGAAAAUAAUAGUUAAAAAAAAUAUUUGACUCAUCAAACAAUAACACAUUCGCAUAAAAUGAGAGGAAAAGAGCAGUAAUUCUGUUUUACUUUUGUAAGUUCCAAUUAUUAACUUAUUCAUGCCAAAAAUUUGGUAUGGUAAUUAAGAAAUUGGCCCCUAAGAAGUAAAUGUACGUGGCUGAUUUGGGACAUAUGGAAUUACUAUUUGUUAAGAAAAUGUUGCGUGGACCAUAUACUAUUCUACAUAUACUCAAGUUUCUCUGACUUUACUGAAAAAAAUUUAUCUCCUAACUUAAUUAUAUUAGUCUCCCUACUUAUUAUUAUACCUCAUUGUAUGAAAAUUUCAUAUUUUUUUAUCCGCAUCUAACUAACACUACAGUACAUAACUGUCAUUGUACCCAUCAUAUUUGAAUGGGUGGAUUUUCAUAAUUGGUGAUGUAACUAGCUAGAUCAAUUGGUUUUUACUUCAUUUGGAUGUGUGAUUAACCUUUUAAAGAUAACCUUUAAACAAUUUGAAGACAAUUAAGAAACAUGAACUUUGAACUAUAUAAUAUAGUACAAAAAAGUGAGGAGGGAGGUGGAUAUAUUUUUUUUGCCUUUUUGUGUUGGAAGGGUUGAGGGAGGUGGGGCAUGAAAAUGAUAGCCCCUCUAAUUUUUGGGAGAGAGACAAAAGCAAAUGAUGACUUGUCCACCAUCCUUCUCAUUUCUCAAUAUUAUAUUAAUAUAAAAUUAAUUUAUAUUAUACACUUUCUCUUUUUCAGAAAAAAGAAAAAAAUAUAAUUGAGUAGAUAUUUAAUUGUGGAAUUUCUUUUACACGUGGAAAAUGCUACGCAUUACGCAUUCCAUCAUGCUUAAGCUAGCGCUACGUCACUAUCCAAAACAUGUAACUAGGAGUAGUUUGGAGAACAUCAGUCGUUCGUCUCAUAUAAGUGAUUCAUUUUCUUUGUUACACACUCUUUAACAAAUUAUGUAGGUAAAAUGAUAGUUUUACUUAUUUAUUUCUAAGAAUCUUUUUCUUAACUUUUACAAACUUAUUACACUUUAAAAUAAUUAAUUCUAAGAGCAAAAAAAAUAUAUAUAUUUUAUAUAUUGACAAGUAAUUUAAAAAAAAAUAUUUUUGAUAUUAUGGACAAUCAAUAUGGAUCGGAGAAGUAGUAGGUAACAUAAAUACUUCUUUCGUUAUAUUUGACUUCAUUCAUGUACGUUAACACUAUAAUUUAGAAAUUUAGUUUACUACUCUCUCUAUUUUGAAAACAACAACCUACUACUUUUUUUUAAGUAUGUUUUAAAAAAAUUAAUUUUUUUUUUGUAAUAGUUUAAUUUCAACUUUACACGUAACAUGAUUAAGAUCAUGUAAUUAAAGAACACUUUGAUACAUUUGACAUAACAUUAAUUUAAGACUUCAAUUUUUUUUUAUUUUCUUAGACUCCAUAUUCAGUCAAAACAUGUCAUUCUUAUUUAAACGGAGGAAGUAAAUUACGAGAAUGCAUGAAUUAUACUUGAAAAUUUAAGUUUAAAUCUUAGUAAUUUAUAUAAUUAUUUAUUACAAAAAUAUUGUGGAUUAACUACACAAUAACAAAUAAAGAAAUAGAGAAGGAAAACAACACAACAAUUUAAUGAGAUUCGGUUAGGCAUAAACUUCCAAACAAAAAAGAGAGUUUUUCUAUUAUAUAUAAGUGAAAGUCCUUCUUACUACUAAUUUGUCUUAUUCUCUUUUUUUAAUUUUUUUUACUAUUAUUAUUACUACUUUUAUUUCUAUUUCUAUUCUAUUUAUUUAUUAUUAUUAUUAUUAUUAUUAUUAUUAUAUUUUUACUACUAAUUUUUCUCAUUCUCUUUCUUUCAUUAUUUUACUAUUAUUAUUACAACUAUAAUUUCUAUUUCUAUUCUAUUCUAUUUAUUAUUAUUAUAUUAUUUUUUUACUACUAUAUAUAUAUAAGCGAAGGUUUGGGUGACUAUCAAGUGUAUUUCGGUAAUUUUAAUCACCCCAACCUUCACUUAUAUAUAGUAGUAAAUAAAAUGGUUACACAUGCAUUUAUUUUUUUCUUAUAUUUAUCAGUUUAGUCCUCAUUUUUAUGGUGCAAUAAAAUGGUUACACAUUCAUAUUAUUUUUUCUUAUUUAUUAGUUUUGUCCUCAUAUAUUAUUUUAAUAAUAUUUUAAUUUAAACCUUUGUAAUUGAAUUAUACAUCGUAGUAUUUUUUUAUAAAUGUCUUUUUGUUCCUUAUUAGGGUGACUACCAAGGGUAUUUUGGUAAUUUAUGUAUUAUUUAAAUAAUAUUUUUACAUAGACCUUUAUAAUUGAAUUAUACAUGAUAGUAUUUUUUUGUAAAUAUCUUUUUGUUCCUUAUUAAACGACUACCAAGGUUAUUUCGAUAAUUUUAUGGUGCAAUAAGAGAAGGUUGGAGUGACUACCAAGGAUAUUUCGAUAAAUUUAGUCACCCCAAUCUUCACAUAUAUAUAGUAGUAAUAUCUUUUGUUCCUUAUUAAAUAACUACCAAGGGUAUUUAGGUAAUUUAGUGUUGUAAUAAGUGAAGGUUGGGGUGACUACUACGGGUAAUUCUGUAAUUUUAGUCACCACAACCUUCACUUAUAUAUAGUAGUAAAUAAAAUGGUUAAACAUAUAUACGAUUUUUUUCUUAUAUUUAUUAGUUUUGUCCUCAUUUUUAUAAUGCAAUAAAAUGGUUACACAUGCAUAUUAUUAUUUUUUUAUAUUUAUUAGUUUUAUCUUCAUUUAUUAUUUUAAUAGUAUUAUUAUUUAGACCUUUGUAAAUGAAUUAUACAUGGUAGUAUUUUUUUAUAAGUAUCUUUUAGUUCCUUAUUAAAUGACUAUCAAGGGUCUUUCGGUAAUUUUAUGGUGCAAUAAGUCAAGGUUGGGGUGACGAUCAAGGGUAUUUCGGUAAUUUUAAUCACGACAACCUCACUUACAUGUAGUAGUAAAUAAAAUGGUUACACUUGCAUAUGAUUUGUUUCUUAUAUUUAUUAGUUUUGUACUCAUGUAUUAUUUUAAUAAUAUUUUUAUUUAGACCUUUGUAAUUAAAUUAUACAUGGUAGUAUUUUUUUUAUAAAUAUCUUUUUGUUCCUUAGUAAAUGACUAUCAAGGAUAUUUCUAUAAUUUUAUGGUGCAAUAAAAUGAUUACACAUGCAUAUUGUUUUUUCUUAUGUUUAUUAGUUUUGUCCUCAUUUUUAUGGUGCAAUAAAAUGGUUAAAUGUGCAUAUUGCUUUUUCCUUAUAUUUACUAAUUUUGUCCUCGUUUAUUAUUUUAAUAAUAUUUUUAUUUAAACCCUUGUAAUUGAAUUAUAAUGGUAGUAAUUUUUUAUAAAUAUCUUUUUGUUCCUUAUUAAAUUACUUAUUUUUUAUACCUAAGGGUGUUUCGGUAAUUUUAUGGUGCAAUAAAAUGAUUACACAUGCAUAUUUCUUUUUUCUUAUAUUUAUUAAUUUUGUCCUAAUUUUUAUGAUGCAAUAAAAUGGUUACACAUAUAUUUUUUUUUCUUAUAUUUAUUAAUUUUAUCCUCAUGUAUUAUUUUAAUAAUAUUUUUAUUUAGACCAUUGUAAUUGAAUUAUACAUGACACUAGUUUUGUAUAAAUAUAUUUUUGUUCCUUAUUAAAUGACUACAAAGGUAUUUCGAUAAUUUUAUGGUGCAAUAAAAUGGUUACGAAUGCAUAUUGCUUUUUCUUUAUAUUUAUUAGUUUUGUCCUUAUUUUUAUGGUGCAAUAAAAUGGUUAUACAUGCAUAUUGUUUUUUCCUUAUAUUUAUUAGUUUUGUCCUCAUAUAUUAUUUUAAUAAUAUUUUUAUUUAGACCUUUGUAAUUUAAUUUUACAUGGUAGAAAUUUUUUAUAAAUAUCUUUUUAUUUCUUAUUAAAUUACUUGAUUUUUAUACCCCAAGAGUAUUUCGGUAAUUUUAUGGUGCAAUAAAAUGGUUACACAUGCAUAUUAUUUUUUCUUUAUAUUUAUUAGCCUUGUCCUCAUUUUUAUGGUGCAGUAAAAUGGUUACACGUACAUAUUAUUUUUUCUUAUAUUUAUUAGUUUUGUCCUCAUGUUUUAUUUUAAUAAUAUUUUUAUUUAGACCUUUGUAAUAGAAUUAUACAUGAUAGUAAUUUUUUAUAAAUAUCUUUUUGUUCCUUAUUAAAUGACUACCAAGGGUAUUUCGGUUAUUUUAUGGUGCAAUAAAUAUUUCGAAAUCGACGUAUGUCUCCUCAACUUAUAUAUUUGAAACUUUCAAAUGAGACGUGCAUCAUUUACUUUUUCAGAAAUGUCCAAGCGAAAAACGUGCCGUCAACUGUAGUUGCAACAAUCUAACUAGAUUUUUAGCCACUUAUAUAAUCACUUUUGUAUUGGUUGAACCACUCUAACCAGCUCAAUUUUGUUCCACACUGAAUGUAUAUAUAGACCACUCUAGCAAACUCAAUUUUGUUCUACACUAAAUGUAUAUAUUAUGUUAACAUCGAUUCAUUGUACUACAUUUUUUUUCAUUUACUCCUAUACUAAAUAAUUAAAACAAGUAGGAAAUAAUCUUUUCCAAUGUUGAGUCUCUUUUGUGCAUUAGUUUUACCAAAAUGCUCGUGCAACAUCUUCUCCAAUGUUGGAUCUCUUUUGCACAUUAGUGUUGCCAAAAUGCCCGUGCCUUGCAUGGGCACGGGUAUCUAAUUUACUAUUAAAGAAAAGAAUAAAGUGUACAAUGUUUUAGAAUCCUUAAUUAUAUUCUCCAUGUAUAGAUUUCACAUAGUCCCAAAUUUAUAAGGACUACAUUUUUUUUUUGAGAAAUCUAUUAGAACAAAUGUUCUCCUAAACUAAUAAGGAAUAUGAGUUUUCUGAAAUAUACAAGGAAAAAUUCAAGAUAUAAUUAACAAAUCUUUUCAAUAGAUUGAAUUCCCUUCAUCAAUAGGAACAAAGUCUCUCUACCUUGCCUUCAGCCUUUGAAAGAGCUCACUAAGUACUGCAUUAUCAUUCAAGUUUAGGCAAUGCCUUUAUUGGUUGGGACCCCAUUGGACAUUCUAUCUGUUGGAUUAUCAUCUGUAGAGGCUAUAUUCACACGAACAUUUUCUUUGUAGCCUACUACUCUUUGUCCCUUUGAUAAUAAAUCAAACUUUCAUGUUCGAUUCUUAUGAAGUAACUCAAUCUCUAAAUUGAUAAGCUGAACAACUAAAUAUCCUCAAUUUUAUAUAAUAACAUACAAACUGUAUCAAUCCUUAAAGGAGUUUUGAAUUCAAUAGCCAUGAACGGAAAUUUAUUGACCAAAUGACAAGUUGUAACAAUUGCUUCAACCCAAAAAUUAUUCCUAACACACGAGUGUAAAAACAUACUUCAUGCAUUAUCACAAAUCAUUCUAUUCAUGCGUUCUGCAACAUUAUUUUAUUAUAGUGUCCACGAUAAGUGUGGUGUCUCCCUAUAUCUUUCCUGUUGCAAAAUUUAUUAAACUAGAAGUUCUAAAAUUUUAACUUAUUAUUCGUCUGAAUAUGCUUAACUUUUAUUUCAAUUUGCCUUUCAAUCAUCGCCUUUCAUUUAUCAAAUGUCUGAAAUGUCACACCCUUUAUUUCAAAAAAUAUACCUAUUUUUGAAUAAUCGUCAAUCAAAGUCACAAGUACCCGUCACCACUUUUGAAGAAAACUUUAUUUGGAUCCCACAAGCCUAAAUGUAUAAUCCAACUUGUCUUUAUUCUUAUGCUCUGCCUUCUUGCUAAAUUUUACCCGUGUUUGCUUACCAAACGCACAAUGCUUACAAAAAUUCAAAGCUUAAUUUUUUGUAUAUAUUCAACAAAUUUUACUCGUUCAAUAAAAAUAAUUCCUUCUUACUCAUAUGACUAAGUCAAAAGUGCCACAAUUUCGACUGUUUCAGAUUAUUUCUUUCAGAAGCUUCAAUUAAUUUUCGUUCAAUUACACUCGCUUGAAAAUAAUACAGUUUAAAGUGAAGCUUAUCCUUCAUGAGUACCAUGGAGUCUUUGUACACUUAUAAAUGUUUCAUUCUCCGAGUGACAUUUAUAUUCUUGAUCAACCAAAAUUGAAAGAGAAAUCAAAUUCUUCUUUAUCCGAGGAAUGUGACAAUACUCAAUAUUUCUGUUAUUGCCAUCAAACAUUCUCAAUUUAAUGUACCAAUCCCCUCUACCUCUAAUGAAUUAUCAACACCUAAAUAAAUAAUUCUACUAAUUUAUUUGUACGUUGCAAAUCAAUUCUUAUGUAGACACAUACUGAAAGUUAGACUAGAAUCAAGAACCCAAGAAUAUAAUUAUGCCUAUGAACAAAACUCACAACACAAACUUUUUCUACAUAUUUGUUGUCAUCAAAAUUACUAUUAGUGUCGACAAUAUUUACUGAGUAAUCAACUUUAUGCUUUUCUCUCUUAGUUUAGGACAAUUUCUUCUGUAGUGAUCCUGUUUUCCGCACUCAUAGUAGUUAUGCCUGCUUACUCUAGACUUCGAUCUAAUAUUGAAUGAUUUUCUAUAAAAAUCAUUUUCACCUACUCCCAAGACCUUCACUCUCGGCUCUAUUAUUUGGAAAGCUCUUCCUCAAGUCCUUAGAUUUUAGUGCAUUACUAACAUCAUUUGUCAAUCAUUGCUUAGAAUACAGAUCUUUCAACUUAUUUUAUAUCGUUGCUGCUGACUUUUUUUCAACAAUUUCACGAAAAACAUUAUUUGUAACGCUUAUGAAGAUUGUACAACCUCUUUUUCUGGUAGAAGCUAUUUGUUAGUCAUUGCUUAGAAUAUAAAUCUUUAAACUUUUUUCAUAUCGUUGCUACUAACUUCUCUUCAGCAAUGUUAUGAAAAACGUUAUCUAUAACGUUCAUGAAGAUCGCACCCAAAGCCCUCUUCUUUGAAUUUGCUUUCUCCGAUUCUUUCAACUCUUCUAGAAAAGUCUCCUCAAUUGUCCUUCAUAACCCUUGUAACACCAAGGACAAUUUCUCUACUUCGUACUUCUUUAAAGAUGAUGCAAAUAUCUUAACUCUUAAUUAUUGUAAAAAAUUCUACCUUGCUCUAAUAUCAAUUGUUGCAGAAAUAUUGUGGGUUAACUAGCACACAAUCACAAAUAAAGAAAAUAGAAAAAAUAACAAAAAAAUAUAACGAGGUUUGGCUAUACUUAAUCCACCAAACAAAAGCAGAUAGAGUUUUUCACUAUGAAAGAAAAGAAGAAGUGUAUAAUAUUUUAUAAUCUUCGAUUACAUAUCUUAUAUAUAGGUUUUAAGUAGUCCCAAACCUAUAUGAAAAAAGAUUUUCCCAAUUCUACAAAGACUAUAUUUUUCUUUUCCAAAUCUAUUAGGAUAAAAGGUCUACUAAAUCAAUAUGAAAUAUGAAUUUUUAAAAAUAUACAAGAAAAAAAUACAAAAAAUAAUUAAAAUUAUCUGAUAAAACUAGUAUUGAAAAAGAUAGUAAGUUUAUCAUAAUUUGUUAAAAUAAAUAAAUAUUUUUAUAUCUUAAUUUGUUAAAAUAAAUAAAAUAUAUUUUUAAUAUAAAGCUUACGUAAAUCUAUAUCUAUAUCUAUAUCUAUAUCUAUAAUAUAUUAAAAAUGUGAAGGGUCUUUAAAAUAUUAUUUUAACUUUUUGUCCUUCAUUAAAAAAAAUUCACUUUAGACAAAACCGUCUUUUUACCUUUUUUUAUUAUUUUAAUAAUAUUAAAUAUUGACUAUAUUAUCCUUCCAAAAAAUAUCUCUCCUCACACAAAUAAAAUUCCUUUUCCAUCAUCUAAAAAAAUCAACCACAUUUAGAAAUCAAAAAAAAAGAAAAAAACACACGAAAAAAUAUCUUCCCUAACAUGAAAACCUAAAAAUAGUAAUAAACUCACUCAUCCCCUAGUCAUUAAAUAAAACACCCCCCACGUGAAACCAUAAAAAAGUAAUAAUAAAAAAAACUCUAUUCUUUCCCUACUUGAUUUUAGCAUAAUCUUUUUCAUGCAAAAUAUGAUUAAAAAACUCAAAAAUCGACAAACAACAAUUCCUAUUUCAUGUAAAAUAGGUUUUAUCGUACCUUUAUCAACUUUUAUGAAAGUCAUGCUACUUUUAUUUUUAACCAUUCUCACCAUACUUUUCUUUCAUCGAUAAUUUUUCUCAAUUUUGUCUCUUGUCCAGGUUCUCUUCGUCAACUCACUUUAGCUUACUUGUCAUAAAAUCUUUUUUUUUUUGUAUUGUUGAUUGUUGCUUGCUUAUUUAUGAUUUAAACAUAAUAUUAAUUGUUAUGCCAAUAAUUUUGCUUAUAUUUUUAGUUGAUCUAAUUCGUGUUAUUAGUUGAAUUUAUAUUUAUAAUUAAUUUAACUUAUAUUCUUUGUUGGUCGAUUAAUAAGUAGUGCUCUUCCUUGAUUAAAUAUAUGAAAACGACUCACAUUUUCAGGUAUAAUUAUUUGCUGAACUCAUCAAUUGUUUCCUUCUAAAUCAUACGUUAUUGUUUUUAUAAUUCAUUUUUAGGUUACUAUAGCAAUGGACCCAAGGGAAAGAGUGUAUUACAUGACAAGCGCAAAAAUGAUGGUCCACUAUUAAUGGUCACAUAGAUUGGUCACAUUACAAAGUGCACAAUCUAUUAAAAAGUGCUAGAGCAUAGAUUGGUCACAUUCCACUGUCAUGACAUAGAUUGAUCAUCUUUUUAAAAUGAUGGCAUAUAUUUGUUUCGGACUUUAAAAUAUAUAUGUGCUUACACUAAAAUAUAUGUUUAUGUUUACAUUAUUAUAUUAAAGUUGAAAAGAAUAUUUGAAAAGUGAUUUGAACUUUUUGUACUUUAUUAUAAAUCUGUGCAAUAAAUAAAAUUAUUUAAUUUUAAAUAAUCACACAUUACACGUGCGAGAUAUACACAGUUAAAAUAGUAAAUAUAAUAAAGGAAGUAGAGUACCUUAUAAACGUUUCUUUGAUUUUUUUAUUUUUUUUUUGCUUUUAGACUUUUUACAGACUACAGUAGUUAUAAUGAUAAGUCAUCACAUCCAAAAUUCGAAGCGAAAAUAGUACUCAUGAAGGAUUUUUAAAAGUUAGAAAGAGAAUUGUCAUAAUAUUGCUGAAGUUUACAUUUCAAAAGUAUAGUAAAUUUUGUCAAAUCUAAAAAAUUUUGACCAGAAUAAAAGACCAAACUCUAAGAUUUUCUUUUCGUGAGAUCUAAUAUUUCACAUAAUCUUCUAUUCAGUCUGACAAUUUACCACAUUUUCUUUUCAUGAGAUCUAGUAUUUCACAUAAUCUUCUAUUCAGUCUGACAAUUUACCACAUGGUCAUCAUGGAUUUCACAUUUUUCUGAAUAAUUAUCCCUUUAUUCCUCUACAAUAAUUCUGAUCUUACUUGUCGAUUUUUUUUGUCUCUGCUGAUAAAUAUCUAUAUUAGAAUUCAAUUAAAUUUAAAUUCAGAUUAAAAAGUUUCAUAUUACAGGAGGAAGGGGGAGGAGAGAGGCAGAGGUGGAGAAAGGUAAAAGCGCUCCCUAACAAAGGCGACAUCAUAAUCAGAAAAAUCAAAUCUAAAGCCUCUAAUCAACAAUAAAGGAGUAAUUACCACUCCAUCACAACGUUCUUACUCGUCUUAUUCUCUCAAAUCCGAUGCAUCCUACUUCCUAGUUCUUCUAUUAUUUUCACUAGGAGAGGACAUUACUAAUACUAUUAUUAUUUUUAUUAUUUUGUAUAUAUCCGAAAUAUUAACUCAACUAUGUUGUACGUAUAAUAGGAGGCCUAAGAGAAAAUUGUUUUUCAUCAAAACUUUGUCAUAACUCAAACCUGAACUUCUUGUUGAAAAUUUAGAAAUUCGUAUAUACAUCUCACCAUAUUCUUUAAAGGUCAUAUAUUAUUAAUGUAUACGAAUUAAGAGUAACCGAUACAUUAUUUUCUCAAUUGUGGCAUAAAUAUGAAAUAUCACUUCUCCUCAUUCUUUGAAUUGACAAAUUAUCAAAUUUGACUUGUUUUUAUAUAUUGCGAAUAUUUAUACAUGAAUUGUCCAAAUCAAAGUUAUCAAACGCGAUCUUUCAGUACAAGAAGACACAAAAUGCUACUAAACAGCUGCUUAUUUAGGGUGGGAAUCACCGGAUUCACUUGAACACAUGCUCUUCUUGUUAGGAUUUUUGCCCUGAUUUUCUUACCAAAUUUAAGUUUUACUUUUCUUGAAAGAAAAAUAACAGUAAUACCAUAAUUGCUUUUACUUUUCCUGAAGAAAAAUAUAAAACUUUUUCAUAUUUGGCUAACCUCUUUUUAAGAGGAAAGAUUUUGGACAUCUAUAAAUAGAAGACCCUUUCUUAUGUCAUAACACAAUAACAUCCACAAUGUAGUUAUCAAAGAGUCUUGUUUAGGGGGAGAUUUCCCUCAAUAUGUUUUAUGUUUUUCCAAUAGGUUUUAAAUUUUUUCAAUAUUAUUUUUUAUAUGUAGGUCGUUUGACCAAACCAUAUUAAUAAUAUAUUUUUAGUAUUUAUUUUUCGUUGUCAUCUGAAUUAUCACCAUAUUAGUUUGCAAACUUUAAGCUUCCGCAUGACGCCCUCUCGGUUUCGAACCCAACACUUCUAUCAUAUAUAGUAGCUAGUGUGAUAUUUUAAAAAAAAUAUUUAAAUAUAAAUUUGUGUAUCCAAACUCAAAAAGUAUCUAUAAUAUAUUAAAAGUGUGAAGACCCUUAGAAAAGUUAUUCGAACGUUUUGCCCUUCAUUAAAAGUUUUUUCUUUAGACAAAAUCGUCAUUUCACUAUUUUCUUAAACUAUUAUUUAAUUAUAUUCAUAAUAUUAUCUCCUAAAAUAUAUGGGAUCAGAAGUUUAAAAUAUAUGGUAAGACUUUUUCUUAAAUUAAAAGUCCUAAAAUAUAUGAUAAGAGAUAAUUCUAAUCAAUCAUAGUUUACCUUAAAUAAAAAUUGUAUCUUAUUAGUCCAAUUGAUAACGACAACCAAAUCCACGUUGUUGUAUAGUUUAUCUUAAAUAAAAAUUGUAUCUUAUUAGUCCAAUUAAUAACGAAACCCAAAUCCACGUUGUUGUAUCUUGUAUAUAAUUUUUCCUUUUCUAACUAGGAAAAAUCCACCCUCACGUUAGCAGCACAUAUAGUACUUUUCUCAGAGUUUAAUGUUAUAAUACAAGUUGUAGAUGAUCCUUCAUCAUUGUGUGCAUCUUUACUUAGUGGCUUCUUUGAAUUGUAUCUGGGCAAGUAUAAAGAUCCAACCAUCAUUUUAGACAUAGCAAUUUGUUGCUAUAAAUAUUAUUUGCCAAUGGAUCAUUAGUUUCGUAUGAAGAAAAAUUGAAAUACCUCUUAUACUAGAUGGAUACUAGAUGGAGUAACGUACAAGUAAAUUAAUGGUCUUUUUCAUAUUGUCUUUUUGGUAUAAGGACUUAUACUUAUCAUUGGGAUAAGUAUAUUAUUAUGCUCGUAUAUGUGCAAAACUAACGAUGCAUGAGUAUUACUUAUUGUUUGCAUUCACAAAGAAGUAGGCUUAUAUAAAUAGUCUAAGAAGAGCUUUGAGAACACAACUUGAUGGCCAGGAACCGGAGAUAAUAUAGACUUUGAAGGAUUUUGUUAAUGAGGUAUGACUUUUGUUCUAUAUGCUUGUUGUCUUAAAGGAUUUGUUUUCUCUGUUGUAUUUUCUUUUUUUCAUAACUACUUUAAUUUAUUAUAUUUAAACUGAAGAUCUUUCGAAAAUAAUUUCUUUAUCUCCCCAGGUAGUGGUAAGGUUGCAUUAAAAUUAAGUACAUAUGUCCCCAAGUGCAACUUUCUAUUCGAUUUUUUUUUAAUUUAAUGACUCAAACCGUAGAAUUUUUUUCUUCAAAUAUAAUGAUGUUGUGGAUGGAGAGGAGUAAAUUAUAUAGAACGGUUAUGUAGAAGUCUGAAAAAGGGGCAAAGUUGGUGGAAGAUGAACACAAAAUUUUUCCUUCACACGAGUAAUAACUUUGGAGUAGAAUCUUUACUAAUAUUCUUAUAUUCAUAUAAAAGAAGAGACCUAAUUAACUUAGGUUUAAAAGGAAAAAAUAAUAAUAGAAUAAGUAGGAAACUUAUCAUAUUAGUAUUGAUAUUAGAAAGAUUUAAAACUUUAUUAAUAUCUUCUUUUUUUGUUUCCAUACAAUUGAUUGUUCCUAUUCAAGUGAGUUCUUUAAGCUAUAUUCAUAUUAUUUUAUAGCAUGUGAUAAUUUUUUCUUGAUCUAGUUUAUUGUUUAUUUUGUUUGAUUGAAGAAUUUUUUUUUUUAUGAUUACAAUCUUAUUAGUAAUUAUAAUCAAAUAGAUGAAUUUGUUUGUGAUUUGAGGUAAAUUUCUACAAUUUUAAUAUAUUCUUGAAGUUUGCAAUAAUAAACUAUCAUGUAUUCCUGAUCUGACAAUUGCUUUCUGAGAAGUUUUUUUUUUUUUGAAAUAUUGACGGUAUCUAUGAUUGAAGAGACAAAUUUGCUUGUGAUUUGAGGUAAACUCUCUAAAAAAAUUUAUAUUUUUUUAUAUUUACAAAAAUAUCAUGUAUAGUUUAUAGAUAAUUGUUAAUUGAGAUUUUUUUUUUGUGAUUGUCAUAUAUUCUUGAAGUUUAAAAUGAUAAAUUAUCAUGUAUUCGAUAGAUAAUUGUUAAUUAAUUUUUUGUGUGAUUAUUAUUAAUAACGAAGCACUUACAAUUAAUAAUUUGAAAUUGAUUUAUUUAUAAAUUUGAACAAAUACUUUGAAUCAUUACAUUCCGUCAUAAGAAAUUGGUUAGUCAUUCUGAUUCUAUAUGAAUUCUGUUUUAAAAUUUAAUUAUAUGCAACUUUUUCAAUUGUGAAUAAACUAUGAGAUCUAACAUAUGAUCAUUAUUUUGUAACAAAUGAUUCUUUUGGUUGAUUGGUAAGAGAGACACGUGCAAAGUACAUAUACCACUCUUAUUAUGUGGAAUAUUAAAGAAUUUGAAAUUAAUAAAAGUUUUUGUUGAUUUAGGUAUACCUUAUAUGGAAAAUAAUUUCUACAAAUCAAAAUAACUACAAAUUUAGUCUAAAACUUGCUAUUUUACAUAAUAAAUAGAUUUAAAUAGGGAUUCUAUACAAACGACUAUCAAAAUUUGCCUAAAUUGACUAUAUUUUAAUACAAGUUAAUUUGGUUUAAUACUACACCCAAUAAAUUAAAGUUGCAAAUUUACCGUAAAUAAGAUUAAUAAUUUACACCAAUUUUUUAAAGUAGACUAAUAAUUUACAUCAGUUUUAAAACUGCGUACUUAAUAAUAUAAGUAUAAUCGUGAAUUUAUUUUUUAUAUACAUUCAUUGUUAAUUAACGUGAUACUCUCUUAUGUCUUUUAUAUGAUUUGUAUGAAUAUAUUAGUUUUAUAUUUAAAUAUUUUUCAUAUGUUUUUUUUAUUAGCACAAAUAUAUUCUAUAGACCAUUUGAUCAGUUUCACGACGUUGAAAGAAAAUCUAUAUGCAAUUUUAUGCUCCAUAAAUUUUAUAUGUGAAAUUAGACCAAAUAUAUUAUUUAUUUAUUUAUUUAUUUAUUGUUACAAACAUAUUCUGAAGCAUGCAACUUGUCCGAAAAAGACAAAGAGUUUGGUGAACAUUCACAUACAUGCAUAAGAAAGCAAGAGGCAAUAUUUUCAACAACUUGAGUUGCAAUAAUUGUAACUAAGACGAAAUUCGACGGGGCAAAUAAUGAUUAUAGAUGGAUUUGUGUAAAAUUUGGUGGAUAUAAGGAAGGAGCUUUAAUAUGGCAAAUGUCAUAUCACAAAUUGUGUCGACAUAACUUUAUCUUUAAUUCUCGUUGAGAGAGGAAUCUAAAAUUUAAAUAAAAAUUAUUAAACAGAUCACAUGAAUUUGUACGUAUAUAAAUACUACACAGAGAAAAGAUAUUUAACGGUAUUAUAUUUUUAGAGAUAAUUAUUACUGAUAAAUAUAUUUUAAUAUUCUUUAUAAAUGUCCUUAGAGUCUAUAACAAAAUUGAAUCCAGUGACAAUUAACUAAUAGAGAUAAAAUAUUUAGCAUUCUUUGCUAAAAUACAUACCUAUUAGUGAUAAAAGCUUUUAUCGUAGUAAUGCAACCUCUAAACUUAAUAGGGCAAACUUUAAUUAAUCGCUAAUUAAUAGUGUGAUCUAAUUAUUAGUUAUUAAUGAAAAUAGGUGAAGAUUAUGAGAAUAGUGAUUUAAAUUUCAGUAUCAACAUAAAAUAUCAAAGUAAGAAACUUUUUCUUAAGUAAUUAAGAAACUUUUCUUACUUUUCUUAAGUAAUUAAGAAACUUUUCUUUUAUAUUUAUCUAGAAAUUUGAAUGAUCAACAUUACCUUGGUAUCUAUACUAAUGAGAAAUAGUUAUAGGUAUUUGAUGCAAAUAUAAUAAUAAUAAAAAUAUAUUCAAUAUAAUUAAAAAGAUUGUUUGGUGCAAUAUAUUAAAGAUUUUUUAUGCGUGAAAUUUUGAGAAGGACCAAAUUACAAGUAUUUAUCACACACAAUCUUAUUCUACAUUUCUUACUAAUAAGACUAAAUUAUGUAUCCCAUGCAUACGUGCUAUGCACGGGCCCAACAUUUUUUUUGUUGAAUAAUAUUUCAUGAUUUAUUGUCAAUUAAACAUCUUAUAAACCUUUUAAAUUGAAAAAAAUAUAUAUCAAUAUACUUUUUGUGUUAUGACAAAAUAAAGACACAUUUUCAAAUUUUUUUUCAUUAUGUUUAUUUAUUUGGAUUUUUUUUUUUUUUUUGAGAUCUUAGUAAUAAUAUCUCAAAAUUCUCAAUCACCUUGCAAUAAUACUUAUCAUAUUUGAAACUUUACAUGAUAAGUUACAGUAUAUUAAUUUUUUUAUCCGAUUUAUAAUGUUAUUAUAUAGGUUUUAAACUUUUUAUUUUUAUUUUUAAAAAUAUUGUACACCAUUAAAUCUAGAAAUUAAUCAAAUUGUCCUAAAAAUAUUAUUUGUAGCAUAAUUUUUUAUUAUAUUUUAAAUAUAUGAUUAUAUUUCUUUAGUAUUUUCAAUUGUUUUAAAAAAAUUUGGUCCUUGAUGAUAGAAAUUAAUUAUACUUCAUACUUUUCUCUCGUUUCAUUUCUUUUUUUUUUUUAAUUGAAAAAUUAUUAAUUAUAUAUUUAUAUAUAUUGAAUUUACGUAAUAUUAAAUUUGUAGUGAAUUAGAUAAAGUAUCAAACUAAGUUUGAGUAUAGAAGAAGUAUACUCCUACAUAAUGAAAGAAGUAUACUCCUACAUAUAUGAAAUGACUAUAUAUUUUUCAAAAUUUUCUUUUAGAUUAUUUUCAAGUAGUGUAUUAAAGAGGGAGAUCUUUUCAUUGAGAGUAUUUUAAUAUUUUAUAAAAAAAUAAUUUAAAACAAAAUUUAUAAUCUUUUUGAUUGGAUAAUUGUCAACUAAAAGCAGCAAUUGAAAUUUAAAACUUGUUAAAUUGAUAUUAAUUUGAAAAAAUAUAAUAAAUAUUAAAUUGUAGAUUAUCUUGAGAAUUUUCUUUGGGGUUAUAUGGUUAAGAUGAAAAGUAGUGCAUUUUAAAGGGAAAAAAAAAAGAUUGAAUGAAAAAUUGGACCACAAAAAGAGAUAGAAUUUGGAUGAUAAAUUUAUAUUUUAUAUUAAUUUUUUUACCCGAUUUAUAGAAUUAUUAUAUAGGUUUUAAACUUUAUAUUUUUAUUUUUAAAAAGAAUUUACACCACUAAAUUUAAAAAUUAAUCAAAUUAUUCCAAAAAUAUUAUUUGUAACAGAAUUUCUUAUUAAAUUUAAAAUGUAUAGUUAUACUCCUUUAAUAUUUUCAAUUGUUUCAAAAAUUUUAGUUUCUUUAUAAUAAAAAUUAAUUGUCUUUCAUACUUUUCUCUCAUUGCGUUUCUUUUUUUGUUGAAAGAAUUAUUAAUUAUAUAUUCAUGUGUUUUGAAUUUAUGUAACAUUAAAUUUAUAGUGAAUCAGAAAAAGGGUAUCAAACUACGUUUGAUCAUAUAUGAAGAAGUAUACUCCUACAUAAUGAAAGAAGUAUAUUCCUACAUAUACGAAAUGAUUGUAUUUUUCAAAAUUUUCUUUCAAAUUAUUUUCAAGUAGUAUAUUAAAGAGGGAGGUCUUUUCAUAUACAAUUUGAGAGUAUUUCAACAUUUUAUUAUAAAAAAUAGCUUUGAACAAAUUUUAUAAUCUUUUUGAUUAAAUAAUUGUCAACUAAAUGUAACAAUUGAAAUUUAAAACUUGUUAAAAUGAUAUUAAUUUGAAAUAGUAUAAUAAACAUUAAAUUGAAGAUUAUCUUGUGGAUUUUCUUUUAGGUUAUAUGGUUAAGGUGAAAACUGAGAAGUAGUGCAUAUUAAAAAAGUAAGAAAAAAUUGAAUGAAAAAUGAGACCCAUAAAAAGAGAUAGGUUUUGAAUAAUGAAUUUAUAUUGUGAAAAUACUAUAAUAUUCUUGAUCGUCUUCCAACUCAUAAGAAAUAGUUAUAUCUAAAAAUUUAAAUGAAUGACAUUACUGAUAUCUAUACUAAUCAAAAAUAGUUACAAGUAUUUGUUAAAGUUCAUAUUUGCCUAAAAAUUUUUUUUUUUGGUUGUAGUGAAAUCUCUAAACUUAACUUGGUAAAAUUUAAUAGAUCGCUACUUUUAGUAUGAUCUAUUUAUUAAUGAAAAUAGGUAAAAAUUAUGAGAACUAUGAUUUAAAUUUCAGUAUAGACAUAAAAUAUUAAGAAAGAAUUUUAUCUUUUAUUUAUCUAAAAAUUUGAGUGAACAUUAUAUUACACGAUAUCAAUACUAACGAGAAAUAGUUAUAAGUAUUUGAUGCAAAUACAAUAAUAGUAAAAGUAUAUUUACUAUAACUAUAAAGAAUGGAUCUUGGGCUCAUGAGAGGAGGAUUGUCCAAGUCUAUAUAAGAGAUUUUCAUUUUUUGAUGUGGGAUACUUAACACUUCCCCGCACGCCCAUACCUCAUUAACUGGAGUGUGGAUAAUAUAGUAUGGGGGUCUAACAUCAGUGAACAAUGAUUUGGGAUGGGCUUGACCCUGAUACCAUGUAAAGAAUGAAUUUUGAGUCUAAUUCAACCUCAAAAACUAGCUCAUGAGAGAAGGAUUGUCCAAGUUCAUAUAAGGAGACCAAUUACUAAUUCAUUUUUCAAUGUAGAUACUUAACAAUAAUUAAAAGGAUAAAUUACACAAAUCUCAUACUCAAGAUACUAUAUUACCUAAUAUCCCUUACUUUUUAAAAAUUUACAUAAAAUUUCAUUUUUCAACUUUAUUCUUGAUACAUAUCAAGAAAAUUCCACAUUUUAUUUUUACUCCACCAUUAACUCAUUUAAGAUUCUAUAAAAAAAUUAAAGAGAAUAAAAUAUACGUAAAUUUGAUUUUUAUCUUAUAAAAUAAAGAAAUUAUUGGCGAUAGAUCAUUGACUUAAGUCAUAGGUGUCCUCACCAAAAUGUAUCAAAGUGAGUUGCAUACCGCUAUUAUCUAAAAUAAAUAAAAUAAAAUAAAAACAUAAUUACUCACUCAAAUUUGUCGAAAAGCGCUGCAUAAGCCUGGUUAUUCUAACAAGAUCCAAACAGUUGAAUAAUUUAGCUAAAAAUUGGGUUCGUUUUAUUAUCCAAGAUAAUUAAUAUCGAGAUUAGUUAUCGGGGAUAACUUAUCCUAUCAUGUAUAUGAGAUAAGUUAUCCCACCAUGGAUUAAUCUCUCCAACCAAACAAGAAAUUUAAGUGAUCUUUUAUUUUAUCCCGGGAUAACUUAUCCUUUGGAUUACGACCCCUGUGUCUUAAUCAUAGUCCAGUACCCGAUGACAUCCAUCUCGUAAUAUCCGAAAUUAAUUCUGAAAUCUAUUCUUUUGUUUUUCUUUAAUACUUUUUUUUAAUUGGGCGUAGGGGAAGAAAAAUGGAGGAGGGGAUUAUAAUGCGGGGAAUUGAGCCCUCACCAACAAGGUGAGUGUUCAUGUAACUAACCAACUAAGCUACUAUGAUUUCUUUUUUCUUUAAUACUCCCUCCAUUCAAUAAUAGUUACUCCCUCCGUCCCAUUUUACCCGUCCCAAAUUGGGAUGACACAACUAUUAAGAAAAUGAUAAUUGGUAAUGUAACUUUACUAUUUUGCCCCUUUUAAUUGUGUCUUGUUGUUAGUUCUAAUAUUGAUGAAUGACCAAUACCAAAGCACCAUUUAUAUUGUUAAUGGUGUACUCUUAAUGGUACUUUUCUUUGCAACAUUUUUCAAGAAUGUUAAUAACAAGGAGUAAGCAAUUACACUAAGGUACAAUGGAAAAAAAAUUAUCUUGUCUUGAUAAAUAAAAAGGACAAGUAAAAUAAGACAACAAAUUAGAAAAUUUGGGACGGAUAAAAUGAGACGGUGGGAGUAUUUAGGUAUUUACUUAACACACAAAUCAAAAAUAAUAAUAAUAAUAAUUUUGUUAUAUUAUCUCUUGAAUAAUAAUAAAUUUAAUAUCUUAGGAAAUAUAUUAACCGAUGAAUAAUAUUUAAUAGCAAAAAUAAAUUGAAUAGAAAAUGAUAAAUAAUACAUUAAUUUUUCAUACAGAAUAAAUAUUAUGAACAGUUAUUUAUAGUACAAUGAAUAAAUACUAUUGAAUUAAAAAGUAUUAUUUUAUGCUUCCUCCAUUUCAUUUUAUUAGGCUUUUAUUUAAAAAUUAAUAUUAUAUUUUACUUAUUUAUUCUAGCAAAUCAAAGAAAUCGUUUAGAGUUUUAAGAAAAUCAAUGACAAGAUCAGUCUGAUAAAAUCUACAUCUUUAAUUGAAGUGUUGUUAAAGAGGUAUGUGGCCCUAAUACUUAAUAGGGUCGAGUAAUAUAACACGGAGGAAGUAUAAUUAACUAAUAAUUUUCUUAUUCAAUAUUAAUUUGACAUACGCAAUAGAUAGAAUAUCAGUUUAUUAUAUUAAUUUAUAACUAUAAUAAAUUUAAUAUUUUGAUAAACGAAUCUAUAAUCUAUAUCUAUAAUAUAUUAAAAGUGUAAAGAACCUUGAAAAAGUGAUUUGAACUUUUUACCUUUAUUAAAAGACUGUCCUUUAAGCAAAACUAUCUUUUCACUAUUUUUUUAAUUUAUUAUUUAAUUAUUUUUAUUAUAUUAACUAGACUCCUAAAAUAUAUGGACUCCUAAACUAUAUGGAAAGAAAAUCAAUUAAUAUUUUCCUUUGAUUAAUUAAAAAUACUCCUAAAAUAAAAUCCUAUUGAGAAAAUACUUCUAUAAAUAUUGAGAUGCACGUUAAACUGUUUAUGGUAAAAUCUUUAAGAGGAAUCAAAUUAACGUGGAAAGGAAAAAAAAAUAUUUAAGAAUUAAAAUUUUAUAUUUUUUUUUAAAAAGUACGCAUGAUAACAAAUAAUCCCUACCACUUUUUAAGGUUAGAAUUUUAGGAAGCAAAUAUAUUUUCUUUAAAAAAAAUAAUGCAUGGAAAGAAAAAAGAUUAUUGGAUUCAACCAAAAAAUAUAAUAUUUAACACUUCUAUAUCAAUUAGAAUUUUACCUUAUAUAAAAAAAAAUAUCUACAAUUCUAUUUAAAUAGUAUUUUUGAUAAAUUUUACUAGAAACAUACGUAUGAUUUUUCUACUUCUAUGUUUUCUUUUGUUUUGAUUUUGAUAGAUGAUUAAUUAGAUUUUUCAUUCUUGAAUUCAUUAAGAUUUUGUAGCCUUCUAUUGCAUGAAAAAAAAAAUAUUUACAACUUAAUAAAACAAAGGACAUAUGUUUCAAUGAUUCGGUUAUUGUCUAGAUUAGUGGAUGCUUAAGUUUUUAACUCUCAACUUCUUUAUUAUUUUUAUCAAUAUAAUAGAAUUCAACAUGUGUAUAUAUAUAUCUUCUUUGUUUUCAUUCAAAUAAUUCUUUAGGGUCAAAAUUUCGCUCAGACAAGUUAAGAAUUAUAUUCAUCAAAAUCGAAAUUUGUGAUCACUCUUGUAUUGUUUGGCUGUUGUUUAUAGGUCGUAGAUAAAUUUUGGUUAGCUUUGAGGAGUUCUUAUGUAAAUAUUAGAUUUAAUUGUAUUAUAUUAAUAUCUCUAUUAGUAUUAUUUUGUGAUAGUUUACAGUUUGUAGAUUAAUGUUGAUCAGUUUGGAGGAAUUUUUGUGUAUAAAAUUUAAGUUUAAUUGUAUUAUUUUGAUAUCUAUUUUAUCGUAUUAUUUUGCUGUAAUUUACAGGUGCUACGUAAAUAUUGGUCGGUUUUGAAUAAUUUUUAUAGGUAAAGGUUAGGUUUAAUUUUGUUAUUUUAAAAUUUUUGCUUUGAAUUUUUUUUUUCUGUGCAAAGGUUAGGUUUAGUCGUAUUAUUUUGAUAUCUCUAUUAUCGUAUUAUUUUAUUAGAAUUUACAUGUAUUAAAUCACUGUUGGACGACCUUGAGAAAUUCUUUGCGUAAAUGUUAGAUUUAAUUGUAUUAUAUUAUUGUCUCUAUCAUUGUAAUGUUUUGUUGCAGUUUACACGUGAUAGAUUUUGUUUAUAAAGGUUCGGUUGAUUAAAUAAAUUUUUCAGCUUUACAUAUUCAUCUUGAAUUUAAUUAUUAUAUUCGUCUUUAUAAUUUAAACACAUAUCCUAUUUAAUGUAAUGUUUGAACUCAUUAAAGUGAGAUACACGCAUGAGACGCGUACAACUAAACUAGUAUAAUUAAUAGCAGGAGAAUUAGAAAUUAAUUAAUAAAUUAUUUUUAAUUUUAUAAAUUAAAGUAAUUAAUAGUAAAUGAGUUUAUAUUUUUACCUACAUUGGACGAGCAAAAUGAAUUAAAUUAUUUGGAAAAAUCUUUUUGGCCGUAAUAGUAACAAAUUCUAUUUACACUAUAAACUAGUUAGUUUUAUGACAUUUUUACCCUUUUCAUCCUAAAUUUAAAUUUCUAACAUUACUUUAUUUAUUAUACCGUUAAACUAUCCCAAUACAUGGAAAUGGACAAUUUAUGUAUUCUAUUUAUAAUUAUUUUCUUAAUUGACAAUUAAAUAAUUAAAUAAUUUCCAAAUGUAGUAAUAUGUAAUUAAGAAAAUAAAAAUUAAUUAGUACAAAUUUAUUUAUUAAUUGUUAGUUAUAUUUUUUCUUUUUAACGUUUGUAGUUGUUUAAUUUUAGUUCAACUUUUAAUUAUGUAUUAUAGUUUAUACUUUGUAAAUAUUUUGAGAAAUUUAAUUCAAUUUAUUUAUUAUUUUUUAUCUAGUUCGAUUUUAUGAUUUUUUUUUAAUGAAUAUGAAAAUUAUUGUACGAAAAUAGAGUUUUAAGGGUGAAUUUCCUAAAUAGUCAGCUAAGUUUUAAAAUUUUUCUUCAAAUAUUACUUAUAUUUUAUUUAGGUCGCAAUAUCACUCAACUAUCACUUUUUUCCUCAAAAAAUAAUAAACACCUCAAAAGUCUUCUUCCCUCUUAGUUGACAUGAAUGUCACUAUUUUUUUUUUUUUUUUAAAAAGACUAGACCUAUUUAGCUCACCAAACUCAUUUAAUUGAACUAUAAUUUUUUUAUUUUUUUUAAAUACAUUAGUUUAUUAAAAAAAAAUUAUACUUAGAAAAACUUUAUCGGUACUAAAACUUGAGAUAUAUUCUUUCAAGGGUUAUUUUUCUCAAUGGCCACUCAUAUUUUUUUGAAUUUCCUACAAAAAUUAUUUUUAUUUUUUUUUAGAGAUAAUAAUAUGACUCAACUAUCACUAUUAUUCUAAAAAAAAAAACAAGUAUGUUAUAUCACUCUUUCUCUUCUAAUUGGCGGGUCAUGUUAUUAAAUUAUUUUUUAAUAAUAGGCUUAUUUAAAUCAUCAAACUUAUUUAUUCAAAAUUAUAUUCUUAUUCUUUUCUUGGAAAAAAAAUAUUAAUUUAUUCAGAAGAAAUUUUCAUGCUUAGAAAUCUUUUAUCAUUACUUAUACUUUCAAAUUUUUUCUAAAGUUAUUUUCUUGGAUUAUUAUAAAUAUUUUUGGAGUCACUUAUAAGAAUCACAUUUUGUUUUGCUAAGACAAUAAUAUCACUCAGUUAUUAAUAUUUUUCUCAAAAAAUUACUAAGUACCUUGAAAGUUUCCUCCUCUUUUAAUGAGCAUGUCAUGUCAGUAAACCAUUAUUUUUUUAAAAAUAAUAAAUAUACUAACUCAGCGAACUCAUUUAACCAAAAUAAUAGUUUUAUCUUUUUAAAAAUAUAUAUUAAUAUAUUAAGAAGAAAUUCUCAUGCUUAGGUAUUUAUAAUUUUUUUUCUAGAGUUAUUUUCCUAGAUAAUCAUUCAGGUCUUUAUACAUAAUUGCCUACAAAGAUAAGUUGUUUUCUAAAGAAAACAGUAUCACUAAAUUACAUAAGUUAUCUAGAGAUUUUAAUUUGCAUGUAAAAUAAUAUGAUAAAAAUUAAGCAUCGUAAAAAAUUUCUAGACAGGAAAAUUAAACUAAUGCAUUUAAAACAAAAAGAAUAAAGUUCUAAUUUUGAGUAAAUGAGUUUGAUGAAUUAGAUGAUUUAUUAUUUUAAAAAAUGUAAUUUUAAUCACAUGGCAUGUCAACUAAGAGAGAAGAAUAUUUUUGAGGUGUUUAAUAUUUUUUUUAGGAAAAGAGUGAUAGUUGAGUAAUAAUGUGGUCCUAAAUGAUAUAUAAGUGAUAUUUGAAAGACUUAAAACUAUUAUUUUGGUUAAAUGACAUAUAUUAAUAUAUUAAAAAUAAAUAUAAAUGAAAUAUAAAAUUUUUAAAACUAUUAAUAUUAAUAUAUUAAUAUUGUGGUCCUAAAUAAAAUAUAAGUGAUAUUUGAAAGACUUAAAACGAAAGUUAAAAUUGUAAUAUUGCUAAGAAUCACAUUUUGUUUUUACUAAGACAAUAAUAUCACUCAAUUAUUAAUAUUUUUCUCAAAAAAUUAUUAAGUACCUCGAAAGUCUCCUCCCCUUCUAAUUAGCAUGUCAUGUCAGUAAACCAUCAUUUUUUAAAAAAUAAUAAACAUAUUAACUUCGCAAACUCAUUUAACCAAAAUAAUAGUUUUAUCUUUUUAAAAAUAUAUGUUAUUUUAGCAAAAUAUUUUAAUGAAAGUUAAAAUAUAAGAUUUUGUUAUUUUAUAUUUGUCUAUAGAUAGAUAUCUAUAAUCUAUAAUAUAUUAAAAGUGUGAAGACCCUUAGAAAAGUGAUUUGAACUUUUUGUCCUUCAUUAAAACACUUUUCUUAGAUAAAACUGUCUUUUCACUAUUUUUUUAAUUUAUUAUAUUAAAUAGACUUCCUAAAAUAUAUGGUAGGAGAAUUAAUUAAUAUUUUUCUUUCUACUAGACUUCCUAAAAUAUGAUUCAUAAAUCAAAAAGACAUUGAUUAUAUUUUUGGGAAAAAUCACGUAUCCAAAAUAAAAAAGGAGACAAACUAAUAAUUUUGGAGGAAAUUUCUUGAUCAGCCAUACUUUUUUUUUCUUAUUGUGCUAAAGUGAAUUUUUUAAAAUAUAUUUUUGAAAAGGAAAAAAAGGUGAAAACACUAUAAGAAAAAAAUGAAAAUAACAUGUAAAAUAAAAAACAAUGCUUAAAGUAAACUCUUAUUCAAUUUUUUUUUAAUAAAGGCUAUAUGUAUAGUUACGAAUUAAUUAAUUGUGUCUCUGUUUCUUCCCGUGAAAUUGAGGCUUUUUUCCUAUUAAAAAGUCUCUUAAAUAUAGAAAGAGUGGUUCAAUAUUAAUUAUGAGGACAAAAACUUACCAACAUUAAAAUAAAAUAUAUACAUUAAAUUAGAGAACUCAUUUAAUUUGAUUUGAUUGCAUGCCUAGAUUGGUUGAUGCUUGAUUUUAUAACCCUCAACUUCUUCGCUAGGACAAGAAUUAGUUGGAUCAAAAUCGAAACUUUGUGAUCGCUAUUAUAUUUCUUUUUAUAGUUUACAGGUCGUAGAUAAAUGUCGAUUGACUUUGAAGAAUUUGUUGUGUAAAGGUUAGGUUUAAUUAUAUUGUUUUGAUAUCCUUAUUAUUAUUGUUUUAUUUUAAUUUACAGAUGCUAGAUGAAUGUGGAUCGGUUUAAAAAAAACUUUGUAGGUAAAAGUUAGGUUUAAUUGUAUUAUCGUAAUAUCUCUAUUAUUUGUUAUUUUGUGGUAUUUUAGAGUUCAUAGAUGGAUCUUGAUCGAUUUUGAGAUUUUUUUGUGUGUAAAAUUUAAGUUUAAUUGUAUUCUUUUGAUAUCACUUUUAUCGUAUUAUUUUGUUGCAGUUCACAGGUGAUAGGUAAAUGUUGGUCGACUUUGAGUUUUUUUUUUUAUAUAUAAAGGUUAGAUUUACUUGUAUUAUUUUGAUAUCUCUAUUAUUGUUUUAUUUUAUUAUUAUUUACAGGUGGGAGAUGAGUGUCAGCCAAUCGGCUUUGAAAUUAUUUUUUAGGUAAAAGUUAGGUUUAAUUGUAUUAUCAUAAUAUCUCUAUUAUUUUGUUAUUUUAUGGUAUUUUAGAGUUCGUAGAUGAAUCUCGAUCGGUUUUAAGAAUUCUUUGUGUGUAAAAUUUAAGUUUAAUUGUAUUGUUUUGAUAUCACUUUUAUCGUAUUAUUUUGUUGCAAUUUAUAGGUGAUUGAUAAAUGUUGGUCGACUUUGAGAUUUUUUUUAUGUAAAGGUUAGACUUACUUGUAUUAUUUUGAAAUCUCUAUUAUCGUCUUAUUUUGUUAUUAUUUACAGGUGGUAGAUGA